GUCUCUCUAUCUCUCUUUUUCUGAAUUUGUGAAAAACAAUUGACCCAGUUAUGAAGCACACUGAGUGAUUAAACACAAAUGACUACAAGAUGGAGCAGAGUGAAAAAAAAAAAAAAUUACUGAGAGUGGGUAGAGAAUAAAACAGAGACAGCGGCACAGCUGGACACAACUAGAUAGAGAACAGAGGAAAACCAAAUAACAAGACUUAAGAUUACAGCAAACAGAGGCCAAGUAUUGUUGAGAUCAGAAGACGGAAAAUUCAAAAGAGUUGAUGGCAGAUGCUGAAUAACAAAACAACAAUGAACGCAAUAAGCAGAAGCAAAGUGUGUUCGUGAUCGACAGAAUGGAGGUACGGAAAGGGGUUGUUGAUAGAAAAUGAAUGAAUGCAAAGAAAGACUGAUAUUAAAAAUGAAGUAAAGAAAGGACUACUUGAGCAUUUUUCGUCUCAGUCAACUAACAAGACAAAUGAUGAUUGAGUGUGAACUUCUACAACAAUAACAAUCUUUACCUAUUUCAAUUAGUCUUAUAUCCAAUAGCAAAUUCGGCGAUAUGCGGGAGGAGCCACGCGCUUUACAACUUCUACAACAAUAGUAAGAAUGAUUUCAGCCAUCUUCUGUCCUUUUACUCUCUCUUUCUUUUUGUGAAUUUUUGAAAAAUAAUUGACCCAGUUAUGAAGCAAACUAAGUGAUUAAACACAAGUGACUACAACAAGAUGGGGCAGAGUAAGAAGACAAUAGAAAGAGUAGAUACAGAAUAAAACAGAGACUAGACAAAGAACAAAGCAAAACCAGAUAACAAGACUGAAGAUUACAACAAACAGAGGCCAAAUUCGAAAGAGUUGAUGGCAAAAGCUGAAUACAAAAACAACAAUGAACACAAUAAACAGAAGCAAAGUGUGUUUCUGAUCAAAGGAUGAAAAUACUAAGGAAGGGUUUGUUUUGUUGUCUGGAAAUGAAUGCAAAGAAAGACUGAUAUUAAAAAAUGAUCUCAAUAAUGGAGGAGUGACUCAACUCUGAAAAACAAAGUUUUGUUGUAUUCUUUUUAACUUUUUGUUGUGGUAGAGAACGGAGAAUAAGGAUGAGAUUAAAAACUAAAAGUGACCCCUCUGUCUUUUGGAAUUAAUUAAUCAUCUUAGUUUUAUGGCCGGCUAACCGUUGUCCGUCGGAUUAGGGAACAGAAAUCCAAACGGUGGAGAUCACUUGCUGAAACCAUGACCCUUUGUUACUUUAAUGAAAAUUUCUAAGUGAUGAUAAAUAAACCAGGUAGAUAUGGUAGAUAUUUUGAAGUAUAAUAAGUGAAAAACGGAGCCUUUACCGAUGGUUUGCUUUCUUAUUCAUCUUUUCCCUGGGCUUAUUACUCUUUUAUUUUUUAAGUUGACUGGAAAUGAAUGCAAAGAAAGGCUGAUAUUAAAAAUGAUCUCAAUAAUGGAGGAGUGAUUCAACUCUGGAUAAUAAAAUUUUGUCGUAUUCUUGUUAACUUUUUGUUAUGGCAGAGAACGGAGAAUAAGGAUGAGAUUAAAAACUAAUAAGUGACCCGUCUAUGUCUUUUGGAAUUAAUUAAUCAUCUUAGUUUUAUGGCCGGUUAACCGUUGUCCGUCGGAUUAGAGAACAGAAAUCCAAACGGUGGAGAUCACUUGCUGAAGCAUGACCCUUUGUCACAUGUAACUAUGUUAGAAAUGUCCAAGACCGGUAAUUGACCGUUAGCAUCAUGCCAGUGUAGUAGAGGGGAAGCGUCUUUUUACACAACUCAUGUAUAUUCAUUGGAAUAUGGAGUGCCAAAUUAUUAUUCUAAAAAACUUUGAACACCAAAAUAUGUAUUAAACCCCAUUACUCCAUAAAACAUCAUUAAUCUAAAAUUUUACCGUAUAAAUACACAUUAAUACCCUAAUAAUAAAAUUACAUUCCUAAUUAGGAUACUAACCAAAUUCAAGCAGUUAAAGAGGUUGUUGAAAAGUCAAAGACUUACUUUCCAAUUUCAAAAGGCAAAGUUGGUGGGUUUGCCAAAUUCAAAAAAACAAAGAUGGUCGGCUUGCUAAUUUCAAAAGACAAAGUUAGGUGUUGAAAAACUUGUGCAUGCAAUACAAGAUCCAGCUCAACGUUUUGACCAAUUGAACCCAACUUGGAGCAGAAUGCACUUUAUAAAUAGAGAAGCAUUUUGCAAUUGUAAGCAUCCCGAAUUUGAGAGAAGUAGAGAGCAAUUGCAAGUGAGUUCUGUGAGAGAAUUUGUGAGAGCUUCCACUUGAGUGUUCUAGUGAGGUUCCAUUUGGGUGUAUGGGGGUUGUGGGUUUUGUGAGUUUUUCCAACUUUUGUAAAUUCCCAUUUGUUAGUAAAAUUAUCUUCUAGUUUUUUGCUCGUGGCCGUAGGUAUUACGCCGAACCACGUAAAUUAUUGUGUCUUAUUUUUCUUUACAUUUGUUUAACACAACAUUUAUAUUUCUCCAAAAGUUACAGUAUUAGUAAUUGCUCAACCCGCGUUUCCACAACAAGUGGUAUUAGAGCCGACGGUUAGUACUUUGGGGAUACGGUACUAUUCACGUAUACAGUAUUGUUCAUGUAUACGGUACUAUUCCCAUAUACGGUACUGUUCACAAAUACGGUGGAGACGACCAUUUAUACUUAGGAGACAGUCUAUUGUAAGUAGUGUGUAUUUUUGCAUAUCUAGGAAAGUUCUGUCAACAAAGACGAUAAGAGUCGAAGGAUUCUGGUUUUUAAUUGGGAUCGAGUUCCCAUCCAGUCUCCUAGGAACUUUCCUGGUGCAUUUAUUCACGGAAAUAAACAUCAUAGAGGCUGUUUUUUAAGUGUAAAUAGUUGUUGAAGAAACUGAUCAUUUGAGAUAAAAAGGAUGGUAGAGGCAUCGUCGUCGUCUUCAUCAGCAAUGACCACUGCGACUAAUGCAAAGUUUGAAGUGGAGAAAUUCAUCAGCAAUGACUACACUCGGAUAUGUUCAGCUGUUCCAAAUUAUCCAUAAUGGCAGAUCCUGUUGUGCGUGGAAUGCGGAAUCAAGCGCACCAAAUAAUUACAGAAAAAUAAAGGACACAAGAAUUUACGUGGUUCGGUAAUUAAACCUACAUCCACAGAGGCAAGAAAGAAUAAUUGUUUAUUUAACAAUUAAUAGAGUACAAUAUUUGAGUAACGAAUCUCACUUCCCAGAAACCCAAAUAUACCCAGUACUCUCACACUCUGCAGGAAAGAUAAAUUUCCCAGACACACUUCUCUCACUUCUCUCAAAAGCUUAGAAACUUAUAAGCUUAACAAUUUUGGGAUACUAAACAAAUGAAAAUCUCCCUCUAUUUAUAGGAAGUAUUUUGCACUAUUACAAAUUCAACGCUCACCAACAAUUUGCCAAUUUGUCAAGGUAGUUGUGAAUUUGUCAAACUGUCACAUGCUUCACCAACUUAUUUGGUUUCAAUUUCUAAGGGCCGGUGCCAACUUUGGCCAAUUAUUUCAACACGUUUUGUAUUUUCUCCAAAGCUUGCAUGCCAGCUGUUGAAAAGUUGGCUUUGGUUGCUGACUUUUCAAAGUUUCCUUGUUUCAAGAAGUGCUUGAGAUCAAAACACUUGUUUACUUCUCUUAUGAUUACCUCCAUCCCAUUUUCAGCCUUUUCUUUUGCCUCCUGAGCAUGACGCCCUCCUCCUAUAGGAAGAACUUUCAUGGCGUGAAAUCUCUGUAGGAAAUCAUCAAGUGAGAAAAUAGUAGGCGACUCAGCACCAAACUCGGCUUCAAGACAUUUAAGUUUGCAAAUCAAGUCUUCUGGAAAUAGACUGUUAUUUGUUGCUAUGUGCUUCGCAUCAGCUCUCAAUUCUUCCAAGUUGGGGAAUAACUGGGUGAUUAAUCACAACCAAAAUAAAGAAAAAUUUGCUAGAUUCAGAGAUUAGUUGAUAUAUUUAUUUUAAAGAAAUUUAACAAAAUAGAAGAGAUUAAAUUUGAAAUUAACUACCACUAGCUAGUAAAAAUAGCUUUUCUAGCACGAGGAUCCAGUUUACCAUCUUUGACAUGAUAAUAAGCUGGACACCCGAAUACACGAAGGGAAUCAUAGUCUUGUGCAUACUUUCCAGACCACAUUUCCAUAGGAGUUUUACCUCCAAUUGCAGCAGAAGGCAACCGGUUUACCAAGUGACUUGCGUAGCUCAUAGCUUCAGCCCAAAACUUUUUAUCUAAACCAGCAUUAGAUAACAUACAUCGUACCUUCUCUAGUAAAGUACGAUUCAUACGCUCAGCCACACCGUUCUGUUGCGGAGUAUGUCUCACCGUGAAAUGUCUUUUAAUACCCUCGUUCUGGCAUACUUGCAAGAAUGGAUCAGAAGUAUAUUCACCCCCAUUAUCAGAUCGUAAUACUUUGAUCUUUCUGCCAGUUUGAGUCUCCACUAAUUUCUUCCAUUUCACGAAAAUCUCUAGAACCUCAUCCUUUGCUUGCAUGGUGUACACCCACACACGUCUAGAGAAAUCAUCAACAAAUGUAACAAAAUAAUGGCUUCCACCAAUUGAUGCAGUCUUGGUUGGUCCCCAUACAUCACUAUGAACAUAUUCAAGGAUUUCACGAGUAUCGUGAUUAGCUGUACCAAACUUGACCCUUGUUUUCUUGCCUACUACACAAUGCUCACAGAAAUUAAAUUUACAGGUUUUGGUACCUUUUAAGAGUCCAUGCCUCAUCAGAGUUUGCAAAGACUUCUCUCCAGCAUGUCCCAGUCGUACAUGCCAUAGCUUGGUGGUGUCACUGUGCGCCUCAACAACAUUUGCUUCAUCAGUUGUACCUCCCUUCAAAUAGUACAGAUUGUGACGCCGAACCCCUUGCAGAAUCACCAUAGCCCCAUGUGUAAACUUCAUUAUACCAUCUUCAAUGGUAACCUUGUAGCCUUUAGCUUCCAAAGCACCCACAAAAAUUAGAUUUUUCUUUAACGCUGGAACAAAUCUAACCUCUUUGAGUUCUCUGACCAUUCCAUCAAACAUUUUGAGCCGAAUUGUUCAUAUCCCCAUUGUGCGACAAGGUUUAUCAUUCCCCAUCACUACUGCACCGGAUUUCAGAUUACGAAAAUCCGUAAACCAUUCCUUAAUAGGACACAAAUGAUAGGUUGCUCCAGUAUCAAGUAUCCACUCGCUCGAACUAGCCACGUAUGCUGCAGGAGUAAUACUUAGUGAAUAAUCAGAGCCGUCAUCUUUCCGUGCCAUGUUUGCUGCUGCUGGUUUCUUCCCAUCUCUCUUUUGAGCCUUUGGACAAUCUUUCCUCCAAUGACCCUUUUCAUGACAAAAGGCACACUCAUCUCGAGCUAUAUUUCUGCUUCUCGAUUUGGAUCGAGAAUUCUUUCCACCACGCUUCUUCUGUUUCUCCAUCACCCAAUCUCUGCUCACCAAAGCUUCAGACGAUGCUCGUUCAGAAUUUUUAUCAUUAUUCCGAAUCUCUAAGCUAGUCAAUGUUGUGCAAACAUCUUUAAAGACGGUCACACUCUUCCCAUAUAUCAAAGUAGUCACAAAAUGGCUAUAUUCCUCUGGUAGUGAGUGUAACAGAAUCAUAGCCUUGACUUCAUCCUUAAUAUCUUCAUCAAGAUUCUUCAAAUCAGCAAGUAACUUUUCAAAUCUUGAAACAUGAUUGUGCAUUGACACCCCAGGCUUCAUUCGAAAACCAUAUACUUGGCUCAUUGCAUGAAGGCGAUUUUCAGGACUUUUCACCAGGUACUUCUCCUCCAAUGUACGCCACAAAGUCACCGCACACUCCUCAUCUUUCACCAAGUAUUUCACCUCCUUGGUCAAACAAGAUCUGAUCUGACCACAAGCUUUUUCAUUCAUACGAUCCCAAAUUUCUUCAUCAUACAAGUGUCUUUUAUUUUUCAGAACAACAUCGAGAUCGAUUUGAAUAAGGGCAUCCAUAACUUCGCGCCUCCACAUGCCGAAGUUGAUUUUCCCAUCAAACUUUUCAACAUCGAUCUUCUGGCCUCCUAUAACAGGUGCUGAAUAGCGAUUUGACAAAUCUCGCCUCCCACCUGAAGUGUCUCCUGAAAUAGUCUCGGUAGAUCUCUCCCCAAUUCUGGAAGUUUCACCUUCUACUAUUUUCUCAACGAACUAUUUCCACUUGAAAAACAGCCUCUAUGAUGUUAAUUUCGCGUGAAUAAAUGCACCAGGAACGUUCCCAGAAAACUGGACGGGAACUCGGUCCCAAUUAAAAACCAGAAUCCUUAGACUCUUAUCGCCUUUGUUAACAGAACUUUCUUAGACAUGCAAAAAUACACACUACUUACAAUAGACUGUCUCCCAAGUACAAAUGGCCGUCUCCACCGUAUUCGUGAACAGUACCGUAUCCCCCAAGUACGAACCGUGUCGUAUUCAUGAACAGUACCGUAUGUGAAUAGUACCGUAUACGUGAACAAUAUUGUAUACGUGAACAAUACCGUAUCCCCCAAGUACGAACCGUCGGCUCUGAUACCACUUGUUGUGCGCGGAAUGCAGAAUCAAGCGCACCAAAUAAUUACAGAAAAAUAAAGGACACAAUAAUUUACGUGGUUCGGUAAUUAAACCUACAUCCACGGAGGCAAGAAAGAAUAAUUGUUUAUUUAACAAUUAAUAGAGUACAAUAUUUGAGUAACGAAUCUCACUUCCCAGAAACCCAAAUAUACCCAGUACUCUCACACUCUGCAGGAAAGAUAAAUUUCCCAGACACACUUCUCUCACUUCUCUCAAAAGCUUAGAAACUUAUAAGCUUAACAAUUUUGGGAUACUAAACAAAUGAAAAUCUCCCUCUAUUUAUAGGAAGUAUUUUGCACUAUUACAAAUUCAACGCUCACCAACAAUUUGCCAAUUUGUCAAGGUAGUUGUGAAUUUGUCAAACUGUCACAUGCUUCACCAACUUAUUUGGUUUCAAUUUCUAAGGGCCGGUGCCAACUUUGGCCAAUUAUUUCAACACGUUUUGUAUUUUCUCCAAAGCUUGCAUGCCAGCUGUUGAAAAGUUGGCUUUGGUUGCUGACUUUUCAAAGUUUCCUUGUUUCAAGAAGUGCUUGAGAUCAAAACACUUGUUUACUUCUCUUAUGAUUACCUCCAUCCCAUUUUCAGCCUUUUGUUUUGCCUCCUGAGCAUGACGCCCUCCUCCUAUACGAAGAACUUUCAUGGCGGGAAAUCUCUGUAGGAAAUCAUCAAGUGAGAAAAUAGUAGGCGACUCAGCACCAAACUCGGCUUCAAGACAUUUAAGUUUGCAAAUCAAGUCUUCUGGAAAUAGACUGUUAUUUGUUGCUAUGUGCUUCGCAUCAGCUCUCAAUUCUUCCAAGUUGGGGAAUAACUGGGUGAUUAAUCACAACCAAAAUAAAGAAAAAUUUGCGAGAUUCAGAGAUUAGUUGAUAUAUUUAUUUUAAAGAAAUUUAACAAAAUAGAAGAGAAUAAAUUUGAAAUUAACUACCACUAGCUAGUAAAAAUACUUAUUCAAUAAAUUUUAACUUUUCAGAAAAUGAUAACUUUUUGUUAGUAAAAAGUAACCAAGUCAUGAAGACAAUAGCAAUAGAACUUUAAGCUCUAUGAGAAUUGAAAAGUUAAAUAUAAAAUUCUUGUACGUACCUUUUUUAUCAAGUCGCCCGUAGUUUUUUUAUGUCUCACCAUGAAUUCAGGACAUCUAGAUAUCCAUAACUUUUUCAAUGAUGGAAAUUUAAUGAUGUUUACAUCUCCUGUGCAGAAGCUUGUAAGUUUUUUAAGAUCAUACAUCUUUAAAUAUUGUAACUGGCACUACAAGAAAAAUGAUAUUUUAUUAUAAAAAAAAUUAGUCAUUGAAGAUAACAAAUUAGUCACCUUAUAUUUUCUAUGAUGAUAAAUAAACCGUCACACGUUAGUCGUGGGAAGACCGUCUUAAAAGGUUUUAGGGACCAAAAUUAUUUUCGUCAUGUUAAAAAUAUGUUUUGUGACAAAAAUAAUUGUCUUAAAAUUAAGUUAAAAUUGUCACAAAUAAUGUUCAAAAUGGUCAAAUUAGAGAUUAAAAAAUGUAAUCAAUGACGCUUCAUAUUUGUCACAAUAUGUAAUUUAUAAUGACUAUAAUAUUUGUCUCAAUAGGUGAUUUAUAGUGACUAAAAUAUUAGUCUCAAUAGGUGAUUUAAAAUGACUAUAAUAUUUGUCUCUAGAGUAUGUAAAUAUAAUCUCGAUAAUUACUAAAAAUCGUUAUUUCAGAGGUUCAAUGAUACAAUUACCAACGCUAUUUUUCUGUUGUUGAAAUUUACAUAUCGCGGCGUUACACAAUCGUCUCAAGUAGUUAUCAUUUGACAAUUUUUACAAAUACAAUUGGUAAUUAAUAUAGUCUCAAAUUUAUUUUAAGGACAAUUUUUAUAGUCUCACAUAAAUUUUAAUAACAAUAUGUAGUCAUAGAAUUCAAAAUUUAAUGACAAAAGAACUUUGAAGUGAAAAAUAUUAUUAACAUAAAUAUAAUUCAUCACAAAGAAAUCUAAAAUCUAAAAGGUAUAAAAUCAAUAGUCUAAAAAUAAGAUUACAUCGUAGAAGAAAAAUAAAAGUAACAUUGCACAGAAGCAUAAUUAAGUAAACAACAGGUUGUUGUUUCAUGAAUGCUUCAACUUCCUUAAAUUUGCUAUCUUCUUCCUUGAUUUUAACUUUUGAUCCUUGUUGUGCUAUAAGACAAUGUUGUAGUAGAUGAUGACUUUAAAGGUACCUGUCAUUUUCGAUCUUUAUAAAAUUAAAGAUUUUUCCAAAAGUAUUUCACAAUUUGAUCAUCUAUUAUUGAUACAUCAUUUUUCUCUAUCUAUCAUUUGGCUUUACAUGAUUAAAAAAUAAUAUUAAUAAAAAUAAAAACUUGAGAAAACACUUAAUUGGUGUAGGAGAAUAAUCUUCUAAAAGAAAAUCUUAUUGCCAAUGCAUGAAAGAAUAGUAAAUAGCAAGGCAAAUAGCUAUAAAUAAAAAUAUUUAGGUAAGAAUGCAAAAUUAAUUAAAUUUCUCAAUGAAACAUAUCCGCAAUCAAUUCUUUCAUCCAAUAAAAAAAUGGAAAAAAAUUAUAAAUGAAAGACAGGAGAUUACAAGCACAUACUUGCUUUCAUUAUUACUUCAAAUUAACAAUCUAAUCAAAGAUUACAAGCAUAUAAUCAACCUCGAUUCACUUACACAAAUUUUACAUCCAAAGCUCUGAACUUAAUCGAUUAAACAGUUGGUGUCAAACUUGAACUAAAUUAAAUUAUUAAGCAAUCAAUGAAUCAACGUUUACAGUACAAUAAAUAUAAAGUUGAAAGAAAUAAAAGAUUAAGUCAAAAACGAAAAAUGAGAUAGCUUGCACAUUUAGAUUUUGCAUUGAGACUACUUCAACCUUUUUCCUCACUCCAAUACAUUUUAUGAAACAAAGUAAUCGAGGAAACUCUUCAUACUUUUUUGUUAUCCCAGUACAAAAGAAGAUAAGCAUAUUAUUUUUUACUAAACAUACAACCACUUGGGGAAAAAAAUGCUUUUUGACCUUUAUUUAGUCACUUCAUAUACACUUCCUAGCAAAUCCAACAAUAUUUUAAGCAAACUUUAGCAACCCAAGCUUCAAAAUCGUCCUUCCAAGAAACACAUGUGUUUUAUAAUCAAAAUUUUGUAGCUUAACUUAUUAUUAUAUCGGUUGGACUCGAAUAAUUUAUUAACUCUUUUUAUUAUAUUAAUAAUAGCUAUAAUUUUCUUUAAAAAAUAAAGAAAGAUGAUUAAUUACAUACCAAGUUGAAGUGAACAAAAAAUUGAAAGAUCCCAUUUUCGAAUGUUCUUAUGAAAGAAUAUUAGGAAAAAAAAAAAUCUGAUAUCAUCACACCCAAACCCACUGCCCAAAUUGAAAAAUAAAUUCAUCUUAAUAUCCUAAUUUUGUAAAAGUUUCUCAAAACCUACUAAACUUUGCUUCAAAUUCCUUCAUUUAUUUACAUAUAUUUUAUUUAUUUUUAUUUUUUUAACUAGAUUCUCUUAGGAAUUUUAUCAAGCACCUGAUAAGCAUAAAAAUAUUCAAAUAAUAGAUGUAAAAAUUUCAAUCCUAAUUUUACCAAACACAAAAAUAUGAAUUUCACAUAAUCCAAUCACAACUAAACUAAUCAAAAUUAAAUUGGCUGAGUUUAUAUAUACUCACAAUUUCGAAGUAGAAUGAGAGAUGAGAGUGAAUUUUGCUGAGUGGCUGAUUUUGGCAUGCAUGAGUGGACUGGUGAGGGUGGCGUGCUUUUGGGCGGCGGCAAAGUGAGGUGGCCUCCAUAGCCAUGCGUUUUUGUUUUGUUAUCAUCAUUCACACACACACGCACAAAUUGGAAAGGAUUACAAAAGAUAAAGAUGGAUAGUUUUUUAAUAAAAAACCAAUUAAAGUGAAGUGGCCUGGGAGAGAGUGGGAGGGAAUUAAAUGGUUCUAUUUGGAUGACAACAAAAUUGGUCAGGGAAUGAGUGGGAGGGGAUUAAUUUGUAUUUCACGAUUUCAUUAGAGAAACUUCUGUUCUAUUUACGUUUAGUUAUUCUUUUAUUUUAAUUUUUAUCCAAUAAAAUAUGUAUUCUUUUUAUAAAUCCAACAUAAUUAACUAUUAUAGGAUUCUUUUAAAAAUAAAAAAGAAGCUAUAAUAACUUUGUUAUUAUUGGUUUAAAAAAAGUCUAUUAUCAUUUUUUAAUAAUCCUAGUUAAUUAUUUUAAGGCUAUUAUUUUAAUUUUUAUUAAUCUAACAUAGUUAAACAAAAUUUGUAUGAAGCUAAAUAAUAAAAAAUAAUGUGCGUAAUUAAAUUUCAAGAAAAAGGUAUUAUUUAAUAAAAUACCUAUUAGUUAAAUACCUUUUUCUCGAUAUUUAAUAAAAUUAUUGAUAAUUUAUCUUAUCAAUUAUUUAAUAAAAUACAUAUAAAAAAUUUGUUGGUCACAAAAUAUAAUAUAAUUUAAAAAUAUUGAUUUUUUUUAUUUGGUCAAUGUUGUAAAGUUCGUCAAAAAAAUAUGAAUCAAAUACUAAAUAAUGUGUCUCUGAAAAAAAAAAAGUCAUAAAAUACAAAAUUACUCAAGAAAAAAUUUUAAACUAUUAUUUUUUAGUUUUGUCACAAUAGGUAAUUAUCUGUGACAAAAAAAAUAGGGUCUUAAAAAUUAAUCAAAACCAUAUUAGGUUUGGAGACUAAUAUUUUUUGUCACAAAUAGUUUUAUCCAUUUUACAUCCCUCUUUUAGUUACGAAAUAAUUAUGUCGCUUAUAAUUACAUUUCGCUACCAUAUUUUUUGUCAUAAAAGAUGAUAUAUUUGUCAAAAAAUGAUCAAUUUUGGAGGGAAUUUUUUGUGCUAAAAAAGGAUGUCCUUUUGCGGCUAAUUUUAUAUUUGUCGCAAAAAAAUUGAUUAAGUGACCAAUUAUUGUGUCAUAAAAUAAAUAUUAUUCGUUACAAAAUAUAACAUGAGCUAGGAUGAGAUUAUUUGCUACGAUUUUUAAAGAUCGUCACAAUAAGUAUUAUUUUAUGACAAAAUCUACAAAUGUCAUUAAAAAAAUUAUCUUAAAAAUUCAGAUUUCUUGUAGUGUGGGGAAACAUUACAAUAUUAUUAUUCCUUUUUUCUUGGUCCACAAUUAUUAUCUCUUCCAAGACAGGGCAUCCCAAUAUGUCAAGGUGUUGGAGUCGAACAAAGAUGUCAUUGCUAACUAUAGAAGACGAAAAUAGACAUCUUAAAUUCCUACAUCUGUAUAAGGUCAAGUGCAUUAAAUUCUGAACACCACAAGAUAUGGCUGAAACUUGGUUUUGCCAAAUCCUCUCAACAUUAAUUGAACGCAACUCCAAGUUCUCCAACUUUGGUAACGCAACCUAUUCGAUUAAAAAAUUAACUUCUUGUUAAUUACAAGUAAUAAUCAUUUCUACAGAUGGACAAAUCAAUAAAAUUAUUAAUCUGUUUCUCUUGUUAUAGUUCUCUUCAGUCUUUCAUACAAACAAGCACCAUUCAAGUUUUCAAAUUAUUCCUUGCUAAUUUUACAUGUAUUCUGACGACACAUUAAAUAAAAAUGACAAGUUAUGAAUGUGAAUCUAUUUAUUAGUAAAAAAAUGACAGUUUUCAAAUUAUUAGUUACUCUUGAAUAUUUGCUAACAGACAAGAAUAACAAAGAACAAAAAUACAAAAGUCAUAGAGAAUUAAUAAGACUAUACCGGCUUAACAAUAACUGACCUUCUCAAUGAAUAGUGCAUUAGAAAUACUGACAUUGUCCUCCAAAAUGAUUUGGUUUGACUGAAUAUCAUUUAACGAUUCCUCUUGUCUCUGUUGACAUUGAAGGUGUUAUGAGUUUAGCGUAUAAACUUAAUUGUGAGCGUAAUGUGCAUUUGCAAAGCUUAGUUUAGGACUAGAUCUAAAUUUGAUAUGUAAGAUUCCAUAAUCGAGAAUUUUUUUAAUCAAAAAUUUAUCUGGGUUAAUUUAAACAAAAAUAUGAAGAAUUAAACUUGUUACCGAUUUAGAUUAGAUAAAUAGUGAAUAUUCUCUAAAUAUGAGCAUUGUAAGAUUAUUGAAAAUAUAAGACGGUUAAUUUCACAUUUUUCAUAUGAAUAUUGUGAAUGUUAUUGAAAGUAAGAGAAGAAGAAUAAUAUUACAAGGAUAAAGCACAUACAAUAUAAAGCUAUUAUGUUUUUUUUUUUACGGAUGUAACUCUGAAGCUAAAAGAUUAAAAUAUUAUUUAAUUGCAAGCAUUAAUGAUUUUUGCUAAAUUGUUUACUUUGAAAAUGAGUAUAAAUAUGAUAUUUGACGACUUUUCAAAAUUAACUUUGAUACACUAGAAGUUUCUAGUUUUAGCAUACGUAUAAAUUAACAAAAUGAAUUUCAUAAUAACUAUAAUUUGCUAAAUUGAUCAUACCUUUGACUCUGCCGGAUUAAGGGCGUCGUGGCAACCUUCGAUCCAGAGAUGCUUGAGUUGUGAAGAGCCCACUUUGACUAGUUCAUUAACAAAAUUAUGGACAUCUUGCUCUUGCAGUCCAUACAAUCCAAGAUGUUCAAUUCCCUGCAGUUACACGAUCAGCCCAUCCUUCAAGGAAAUCUUGGAAUUCAGCUCGAUUCUGAAAUCUCUAUUGCAAAUGUUGUACUUCCAAUUCCAGGAAUCUCCAAUAAGUAUUCUGUACCUCUCCAGCUUCUCGAAGAACAAGCCUCUCGGGAGACCGUUGACAUCUCUUAUUUGUAGUUCUAAAGAGGUCAAAUGCUUCAACUCAUCAAGGCUAGCAUUCUUGACCCCGUCCACCUCCACAUCCCAUUUAUCAAAGCUAUUAUCACCUAUAUUUAGAUCUUCUAAAUGGGAUAAAUUUGACAAUAUAUUUGGUGGAAUAACUUCUAGUUUGCUACAAUCUCUCAAAUCAAGCAACUUCAGCCAAGUCAACUGACCUAAUUCUACAGGCAACUGCUGAAUAUCACUACCUCUUAAGCAAAGGAUUUCUAGUUUCUUCAACUCUCCUGUAACACUUAUAUCUAGCAAUUUGCAAUAACACAAACUCAAUGUUCUAAGGUUUGAUAGGAGACCAAGUGAUGAAGGCAGUGGCAGUAGAUUCAUGUAAGUCAAGUUUAUAACUCUAACCUGUAUCAUCCUCUCGAAAAAGUUGUUUGGAAUUGUUAAUAAUGAAGAUUCCUGAUGAUCAGCACGUACAGAAAAAAGUUUUAGCUGAGGACAUUCCAGUAGUACUCGAUCAGCUGGAAGCACAUUAGUCUUGAUAUCACGUGAGACGAUUGAAGUGUAAAGUUUUACCGCAUUUUCGGCUGACCAUUCCAUGCAACCAUCAAACAGCUCACCUGUCGCCGUAAACACAUUUUUUUCUGCAGAUGCAAUUGAUAUCGCAACAUCGCGAAUAACAUCGUGCAUAGAAAGGCCUUCAUCUAGCAACAUACAAGAAGCUUUAAGUUCGNNNNNNNNNNNNNNNNNNNNNNNNNNNNNNNNNNNNNNNNNNNNNNNNNNNNNNNNNNNNNNNNNNNNNNNNNNNNNNNNNNNNNNNNNNNNNNNNNNNNNNNNNNNNNNNNNNNNNNNNNNNNNNNNNNNNNNNNNNNNNNNNNNNNNNNNGUAACUCAACUCUAUAGCUUUAUACGCUGCUGGUUGUAUAUGUUUGAAGUUCGUUGAGGAUGGCCUUCUUAGUUGUUUCAACGAGUCCUUCCAUUUAAAUAUACUCGCGCUCCUUAAUGCCCUUGCUACCGCCACAAUGGAAACAGGCAAACCUGCACAUUCCUUCGCCACAUCCCUUGCAACGCAUUUCAAUUCACUACCUUCAACAUAAUCGCCUGCCAUCUUCUUGAAUAGACUCCAAGCUUCUUCUUCUGCUAAAGCCCCAACUACGAAAUUUUGUUGAGAAUCCAUCUUCCUUGACAACACCUCUAGACUUCUUGCCGUCAACAGUACUUUACAUCCCUUGUCACCAUCUCCGUGGGGAAUUCCCACCACCUGCAAAUCAAGAUAUUCCCAAAUAUUAUCUAAGAUGACAAGGAUCCUCUUCUCUUUCUUCAGUCGGCUAAAAAGACGUCUUGCCCUUCCCGAUUAGCUCUCCUCACGAAAUGUUAGACCUAAUUUAUCUGCGAUUUCUCCUUGAAUCUUUCUUAUGUCUGGGCUCUGGGACACCUCGGAAAAAACCACAAGAUCAAAGAGCUUGUCAUUUUUGGCUUUUCUUGCAACUUCUUUCGCCAGCAUCGUCUUUCCAAUGCCGCCCAUUCCACAAAUCCCGAGCAUGUUGAUAUCGGGAUUUCUCAAUGCACCGAGAAUAUCAUUCAGAGUGGACAUUCUUGAUUCAAAGUCCUCGCAGCCUUUGUUGGACAUAAGCAAUGUAUCCUCAGGAAUGAUACUGUGGGAAAUUCUUUCAAACCUCCCAUCUUCCCGGAGCUUGACUAUAGCGUCCAGCUGCCUCACUGCUUCCUUGCUAAGUCUACGGCGCAUCUUCAAAUUAGGACAACAACCCUUGAAACUAUGCUUAUUUUCUGUAGCUUCAUCACCUACAAAUUUCUUUCCCUCAACAGUGGCCUUGUUUGCGCUUGCAAGCCAAUUCUGAACGUUCUGUUCAAUCUCUUCACCUUUUCUUUCUGCAUCAUUAACCACGUUCUCCAUACUCACGAUCUCACCCUCCAGCUUCUCAACUUGAUUAUUGAGAUUCUUAAAGUUUCUAGUGUAGUCGCGCACAUAACUAAAUUGGCGUUCUAUGGAAGGAGCCAAGCACUUUGCAACUUCUAUAACAACAGAAACUAUGAUUUCCACCAUCUUUAAUCCUUUUCGCUCACUCUUUUUUUUUAAAAAAGAAAAAGAAAUUGGGAAACAGAACAGAGACAAGAACUGAAGUACAGAACAAUUGAUUAGUUAGGAAGCAAACUGACACUGAGAGAUUAAACGCAAGUGAAGUGACUACAGCAAUAUGGGGCGGAGUAAAAAUGGAAAAAAAACAAGAGUGGAUACAGAACAGAACAAAUAUAGGGAGCAGCGCAAUUCUAAAUAACAAGACUGGAGAUCAAAGAGUGCCAAGUGUCGUUGAGAUCAUAAGAUUCAAAAAUCAAUAGAGUUUAUGGCGAAAAGUGAGAGAAAACAGAAGCACAAAACUUAAGAAAAAAUAAGACAAACAAUUUUAGCAAGUUAUCAAUUUAGUUAUUUAAUUCCUGUAAUAAAAUAUUAAAAUCUACAAGGAAGCAUUAAGGCUCGCUAAAAGUUUGAGGUACAUUCCUUCCCUCUAAUCAAAGAAAAUUAGGAAUGAUGCUGCUUCAACCAUGUAUAAUUUAAAUUAAUUAAAGUUAAUAUUCGUAAAUAUGCUUUGAUUAAAGUUGUUGUGUGAAUAUACAUAUAAUAAUUGUUGGUAAAGUUUCGUAAAUGUGAAUCCUUUAAAUGUCCAUCUCUUCCCUCUGAGGAAACGUUAACAUGGGAGAUGAAGCUAUACUACUAUAAACAGUGUUUGAGCAUUUUCACCAAAUACUUGAUAAGUUUAUCAACUUAUUUAUUUAUUUCAUUUCCUAAAUAUGAAAAGCUACAAAGGGAGAAUAAUGGUUUGCUAAAAGUUCAAGGAAUGACAUUCAUUUCCGAUCAUUGAAGAAAAUCCAUGAAUGCUGAUUCCAUCAUGUGGAAUUUAAUGUUAAUUAAAGAUAAAUUUGAGAAAUGCAAAUCUUUUAAAUGUCCGUUUCUUCACUCUGAGGAAAAGUUAUCUUGGAAGAUGAAGCAUGGCUAAUAUGCUAUAACAGUGUUUGUAUUGUGGGACAAUUUCUUGCGAGCAUUUCUUAGUCAAAGUUUCAUAUAAAACUAUAAUAUCUAUACGCAGGGGAGGACAUGGCUUGGCUUGAACCCAAUUAAUUUGGGAGUAAUGAUGAUGUUUGGUAUCAUAUACGUUGAAGUUCUAGUGCAUAAUGGCAUUUAUGUUGAAUGCCACUUCAAUAAACUUUACUAAAAUAUUCCACCACUUUUUACCGCUUCUGUCAUUGUUCUGAUCAGACUCACAUUUUACCACAUGUAAGAUUAUCUAAUUGCAUUUACUUUGUCACAAUAAGACGCCAACAACUUUUUUAAUGCUGGCCACUAGUAUGCAUUCCAAGGUAUAAACAUAUAAUUAAGGGCCGUUUGGGGCAUAUUUUUUUUGGAGGUUAAAAAAUGAUUUUGAAAAGUUAAAAAUUAAUUUUUGUGUUUGAUAAAUUUUUUUAGAAAUCACUUUUGGAAAAAUUACCUUAUUUUAUAGCAAAUUUUGAAAAGUAAGGAGUAGUCUUUCAACAUCUAAUUUUGAGAAUAAAUUUUAUACUCAAUAUAAUUUCAUACCAUAUAUAUCCUUACAUAAGAAAUAAAAUUAUUAACUUUAAAGAGAUUAUUAUUAGUAACAAUUAUAUUGAGAUAAAAAUAAAUUAAAAUUAAUAAUAUAAAAUAUUUAUUUUAACUAUCAAUUAUUAUAUAUACACACACUAAAAAAAGUAUACACAUUUUUAUAAAUAUAUAAAUAAAUUUUAUUCAACAUUAUAUCCAAUUCAAUCAUUUACAUUCUUAUAGUAGUUUAAGAGUAAUAUUUAUCGAACACAUAUGAUUACUUUUUAAAACUCAUAGCACCUUUAAAAUAAAUUUUAUUAAAUGUUUAAUUAAUUUUCUUCAUAGUUGAUUAUUUCUGUAGUUAUUAUUUUAAAAGAUAUAGCAUUACCAAACUAGUCCAAAGUCCUCCAAGAUCUUCACGAGUAUUAAUGUAAUUAGUUUGAGUCUAUAACAUCAAAAUAUACUAAUUUACAGAGUUAAAGCCAUGAAUUCACAAUAUAACGGUAAAUAUCAAUAUAUAGUCUCAAGUAAAACAUCUUCUCAUGACCAUGUCAAGUAAAUGCCGCUGGUGUUGAAUCAAUCUAAAUUCCCGUUUGUCAAAUGUAAAUGAAAAAGAAAAAAAAAGGUAACCAAAGUUGGUUGGUGUGAGUGGUUCGGCACUCUCACUCCUUAAGAGAGGUCAGGGGUUCAAGUCUCACUCUCGUAUGGAGUCACCACUUUGGCCAGCACUUUACCCUUUACGGGCCGACCCGGUGCGAGCGGGGAUUCGUCUGAGUUGUAGUACGGACUUAAAGGUGCCUCCCACAGUUGGGGUCCACUCAGGACCACCUCAUGGUUCAAAUCAAAAAAAAAAAAAAAGAUAAGCGAGACCAAAAACUGUGGCGAUCAUUCAUGUCUUUUGGCAUUUCACAUUUGAUAUUUGUAAAUAUGUAAAAACAAUCUAUUGAGUAUGAGAUUCUUAAUUUUUCUUUUUCAUCUAAUUUGUUAAUAUUAUUGAAUUUUCUUUUUCACCCAAUCUACUAAUAUUAUUGGACGUAAUUGGAACUUAGAACCACUUAUGUCAACUUUAAAUUAUAUCAACUUUAGAAUGACACACUUCGAUAUCUAAGUUUAUAAAAUGAUUGAUCUACUUCAAGCCCAAAGUUUUUUUUUUUUUUGAAAAAAAAUAUUAGUUAAUAAAGGAAUACAUUUUAAACUUUUUAGUAGCCUUCUAGAUUGGGCCUUGAAAUUAUAAAAUGGUUUAUUUAGAAAUUGCGUUGGACUAUUGGCACCCCUCCAAAAUCCUUUUAAAACCCCUCUUCUGUUACAAUUAUAUUUAAGAAUAAAUACUUUAAUAUAUCUCACAUCUAUUUUAUCUCACUUUAAACUUUUGUAUUUUCUUUCUUGAAAAAAAAAAUUCUUGUAUUUUCUCUGCUAUCAAACUCAUGCAUGUAAUUUUUUUCUUAAAUUCUCUAUCAUUUUUUCUUCAAUUAUUAAGACAAUCUAUUGAUAAUAAACAAAACACAUUCUGACAAAAUUAUCUGCCUUUUUUUAAGGCUCAUAAUAAAUAUUUUUACAUCAUAACCUUACAGAUAUUUUAUUUAAUUAAUUGAUUUUUAUCAAGAAGUUUAUCACCUAUAAAAAUUUGUUUGUGAGGAGUGAGAAAAUAAUAGAAAAUUAAAAAAUUCACAAAUUAAAUGUGUUUAUUUAGAAAUAAGGGUAUUUUGGGCAUUAAGCUUAGCACUAUUGAAAAAAUGGGUCAGAAGAAUUUUGGAGGGGUGCCAAUAGUCCAACUCUUAUAAAUUAAAUAUAAAGAUUAAUAACUGGACCUAGACUCAGCCCGGUCCGGGUCUAAAAAUUUCAAGCCUAGGUCCAUCACUCCCGCCAACUGCUGGACUGGACGUUCCAUUCAUAUGCUGUUGAGAUGUAUAUAUAUAUAUAUAUAUAUAUAUAUAUAUAUAUAGUUUAGCUUUUAGCACCCAUAUGAAAAUUCUUACGACACCUCUUUUGUAUUUUAUUUCUUAAAAUAUCUUAGUUUUAAUUUAUAAAGUAUAAAUCCCUAUAAAAAAAAAAACCACAUUCCCACAAAAUGUCAUCCUAGAAAAAGUCUCUUUGGAGUUUUAAUUAUAAAAUACAUAUAAAUUCUAAAAAUUUUUAUUAUUUUCUUUUAAUUAUUUUACUUAUAUCUCCAUUAUUCAAAACACUUUUAAUUUUUUUAAAAAUCAAAUUAAAAUUUAAAAUAUAAAUAUAAAUUAUGAAAUGGGGUGGGUGUAAAAAUUUUGUUAAAAGAAUAUUUUAUUUAGGUGUUUAAUUGAAUUUUCAGUCAAAAUAAAAAUAAAUUAAUUUGUCUUUCGUUAUAUAGGUAAUUUCAAUAACAAAGGGGUUUCAUGAGGAAUUUUGAGAAAGCCAUAUUCGUACAUCAUACAUUUGUGUGUGUGUUGGAGGGGGGGGGGGGGGUGUGUUUUUUUGUGUGUGUGUGGAGUGGGUUUAUCCAAUAGGGGAUCCCUAACUUUAUUAAAUUUAGGAAUAAGAUAAAAAUAAAAUAAAAUAAACACCGAUUCCAAUUAGGGAUGGCAAUGGGGAGGGGAGGGGAGGGGACCGAUCUCCCCGUACCCAUGCCCUCCCCGUCCCCGUCAGAAUUACUUGAGAGAAUCUCCAUCCUCUCCCCGAAUAAUAACAAGGGAUCCCCGAGGGUCCCCGAUCCUCGAAUAACUAAUACAUUUUUUUUCGAUUUUGAGUUAAUAAUAUUAAAAUAAAAAAUUCAAAUAAAAGUAAAGUUCGAAAUAUAUCUUACAUUAAUAUCUAUUACAAAAGUCACAUACAUUAAAUUAGUAAGUAACGCAACAUGCAAGGGAUACAAACUUCUUUUACAAACUAUCAUGAACAAAUUAAUAGUCUAAUACAAAAUUGUUACAAAUAAAAUCGAAUUUAGAUUCAAAAUUAACUUUUUCAAUGGUGGCGUGGGCACUUUAUAAAUGUGGACUAUUCCCUUUACAACACAAUAGUUAAAUCGGAGCAAAUCAAAAGCAAAUAUUAGAUUAGAUUAGAUUAGAUAUUAAAAUUGUGAUUCGCUGUGGGCAAUUAUAACAUCUAAAAUUAAAUAAAAAAUAGAUUUAAGUUUAAAAUAUUUAAAGAAUAUUAAAAUUAAAAAAAAUGUUUGGCUAAUAGAAUCUACUCGGUCUUUUUAAUGUCCUAAAUAAAAAUUUAGAACUUUAAUUAGCUAAUUAGGCCUAAAAGUUUAAUAAUAUAAAUAUUUUGAUAUUUUUUAUUUUUACCAAUAUUUAUAAUUUUAUAAUUUAUUUACUAGUAAUUUUAAAAAAUUAAAAUAAAAUUAAAAAUUAAAAUGGGGAAAUGGGUAGGGGAUGGGGAUUCCACCUCAUCUCCGUCCCCUCCCCGAAUAAGAAAUUGGGUAUGAAAUUAUCCCCAUACCCUCCCCGAAUGGGGAAAAUCCCCGAGAGUACCCGUCCCCGUGGGGAUUUUUGCCAUCCCUAAUUCCAAUACACUACAUGACAAAAUAUAGUGUAUUGGAGUUUAUAUUUUUUAUUUUAUUUUUUAGUUUAUUCCUAACUUUAAUAUAUCCCUUAUAAAACCCCUCUCUUGAAGUACCCCAUAAAAAUAUUAAAAAUUAUAAUAAAUCUAAUAGCACAACAUCAAUUCCAAAACUACCCUCCACAUAUAUUCCUCUACUUUUUCUUUUCUUUCUAAUAAAUUCGCGAGGGCUAGGAUCAGUACCUCCACCUCUUACUUGCUGUCAAGAUUAGUUUAAUUAGAACAAAAAACACAUAUCUAGAAAAUUUUAAUUUUUCAUUCAAGCUAAAAUUAAUUAAAAUUUUAAACUUUAUAUAGGUUUUUAUCAAGAUUUUUGAGGGGUGUGAAAAGCUCCACUCGUAUAUAACCAAUAGACCACAAUGUGUUUUCUCAUAUAUUUUGUAAUUCUACUAAUUGGCUUAAAUUGAAUUGUAAAAAAUAAUGCCACUAGAAGAAAACAGAUAAUAGAUGAUAGACAAUUUGUGACAGAUUCUAGACAAAAUAACUUAAAUCAUAGCACUAUGAAGGAUUUGUAAUAGAAAUUUCAAUCUAUCACAGAUCAAUGAUAGUUUUGUAAUAGAAAUAUUUUUUUUAUCAUGAAUAUAUGAUGGUUUUGUGAUAGAAUUAUCGUUUAUCACAAAUUUAUGAUAGAAUUGUAAUGGAAAUUUGAUCUACCAAGAAAUUGUGAUAGAAUAAUGAUUUUGACCACGUUUGACUCAAAUUUGAUGUAUUAUUUUAUUUAAGAAAACAAAAGGUACAUUUUAAUAAUUGAAAAAAAAAAGAAAGAAAACGCUAGCCAAAUGCUACCGUUUUGGUACUUAACACUCCUUUUCUUUUUCUUCUCUAAGUGUUAAACACUCACACACUUGGAAAUCAAAAUCCAUGAAAGCUACAUUUGUAGCUCGUUUCUCCUUGCGAGAAUUCUUAAUCCCCAAGUUCGCUGGUUAAUCAUUUUCUUUAUUGCUUUAACUUUUGUUUUAGAAAGCUUGUUUGAUGUGAAUGGCCUUGGUCUAGUUGGAAUAAAGAAUUAAAUCCACAAAGAUUGUGAAUCUUGUAUCUUUCAUAGUUUUUUUUCUUUAAUUAGCUUGAACUAGAAAGAACUAAAUUGUUUUAUGUAUGUUUGAGUUUUGUUGAUGCUAUUUUUCCUCUAGGCAACUCGAUAAUUCUGAAAUUGAAAUGUUGAAGGGAUUAUUAGUAAAUAUUGUUGAGAAUUUAGAAUUUGGUGUUGUGUGGUUUUUUAUGAUGUUUGACCAAAGUGGGAUAAAUGCUCUUGCUACACAUUUGGUCCUCCAAUUAUGAAGUGCUUCAUUUUACAUAACGUAGUGCCAUUAAUGAUUUUGUUCAAGGCGGCCGUAUUGGAUUAUUUUAGAAAUUUAUUAUUAGGUAUUUGAAUAAAUGGUUAGAUAUCUAUCUUUUGCUUGAACUCUGUGAAUUUUUAUUUCAUGUCUUAUUAUAUUUUCUUGAUGUUUUCAUGGGUUUCAUUAAGUUAUAAUCUUUCUAAUGCUUCGCUUUUUUCUAUUUUAGGACUACACUACAAGAAAAAUGACCUAUUAUGAUAGGUAAAAACCGUCAUCUUAGGGGGUAGAUGACGGUUAUCCUUACUGUCAUUAUAGCCAGCGUCAAGAAAAGAUGACAGAUAAAAUCGCGUCACAAGUUGUGAUAGAUUUUACCUAUCAUAAUUAUGUCAUACUACUUAGAAGAGGGAAAUUAUUUUUUUAUUUUAUAUUUUCAUUUUUUUAGAAAUUUUUGGAUUGUAUUUUUUUUGGGAUAUCAAUUGUGUGUAUGACUAGUAUUUUCUAUCACAUUUUUUUUGAAAAAAUUGAUUAUUUAUUUUAUUUAUUAAUUUAAAAUAUAAAUUAUGAAAUUUAAAAAUUUAAAUUAUUAAAAUUAUAUGAAAGAAAAUAAAUUACUAAAUGCAAUUAAAUCCAAACUAAUGAACUAAAUUAGUGAACUUUAUUAACCAUAAAAAUAUCCAAAGUACAUUACAUUAGUUAAUCCAUAUUCCAAAGUCGAGCCAAUAGACAACAAAGGCCAAUCCAAAACCAAGCAAAGUACUCCGCAUUCAGCAACAUCCAGCAACAAACCUACACAAAAUGUAGUCUUCCAGCAACAAACCUACACAAAAUGUAGUCUUCCAGCAACAAAAUUGCAAAAUCUAGUCUUCCAGCAGCAAAAUCCAGCAGCCCCAAAGCCAAGACAUGAAAAUCCAUCCAGCAUCAGACCUAUGCAAAAUGUAGUACUCUGGCUAUUCAAUCCACUAACUAAUUAAUUAAUUAAUCAAGCAAACUAACUUAUGUAAUUACACUGAAAUGGACGUGGCACACCAGAUUAGCAACAAUGACAAGUGAGGCAGCAGUUAAAGCCCCAACAGCAAGAAAGCCACAAGCCACACCUUUAAGUUCUUUUGAUCUUUUGUAGCUGCUACUACUACUACUACUACUACUAAUAAUAAUAAUAAUAAUAAUAAAACCAUCAUAUUAAUUUAUACAAGUCCCAAUAUAAGUAGAUAACUAAACAUAGGGUUCAAGAGUUCCAAAUGUUAAAAGUUACAAUCAUAGAGACAUUUCCAUAAUGGAAAAACGAAGAUAAAGCUCAUGAAAAGUAAAUAUACCUAUUUAGUAAUUUAACAACCUCAUAAACCAAUCAUGGAGACAUUUCCAUCAGCCCGCAAGUAAUCAAUCAUAGCCUUCAGAUUAUCUUUCUGACAAACAAGCCAUCAACUUUGGAUGGACCUUAAUUACAAGAAUAAAGUCCAACAAGAUAGGUAAUUGAUCUCAUGAGCAAGAUUAAAUACAACACCUCAUCAAGCUUUGCCAUGAAUUGUAUCAGCUUUGCUUUGUGAAUGAAUAUAAUAAGCUUCAUAUUCCUUCGCUCCUCAUAGGUAGAAAUGGCCUGCAACAAUUAAAGAGCCAAGAUUCAUUCAUGCUUUUUAUCAAACACUUGGAGGGAAUACAAAAAUAGUGACUAUAUCCCCAAUUCGAAGGUAGUGAGCAUACGGCUACAUGCAAGUAUAUAUCAAUAUGUAUAUAUCUUUUAGGAAUUCUCUGCCUUGGAGUUGAAACAAUAUGUGGUGCUAGCAAGCUAUGUUGUUAAUUGGUAUAAAUUUUUGAAUGGUACAAAAGGCUUGAGAUUCAAACCAUGCUCAUAUGAGUGCGGAGAGUGGAAAUUGAGUAGAAACCACAAUACUAUUGAUAUUCUUAGAGGAUCUUUCCAUGUGACAUUCAUUCAAAAUUGUAACUAAGAGCAAAAUGUUUAACGAUUUUUAAUGUAUUGUACACAUAUGUAUCAAUCAAUAUCUUGUAAGAUCGAAAAAUUGAUAACAUUCCCUCAAGACAAAUGAAAAUGGAAAUGAACUAGUCAAUACCUGCAUUACCCAAAAGAGAAACAAGGGAUGGGGAACUCUGAUGUAAUAAUAAAUUAUCUGCUCGGUGCAAAAACAGCCACUAGAAACACACAUUGGUUGGAUGAUAUUGACAUUAUUUCCAACACACACAAUAGAAACAAUACCAAUUGCCCACCAAGUGCAUGACUCAAUGUGCGCCCAGACCUGACACCACUUCCUGCACAUGCGACUCGGCCCACAAUCACCACUAAUUUCAACGAAUUAGUGAAUUUAACCAAUGAAAUUGAAAAAAAAAAGACUUUACAUCACAGUGAACGAAUUUGAGAAUUAUCUAUAUAUAUAGUUCCAUGCAUCCACAAAAAAGUGAAAAAAAAAAUUAGUUAUUAGAAAACCCCAAUGAUAAAGCAGCCUAGAUAAUAUCCCAACACCCAUCACGAUUAAAUUGGCAAGGAUCUUUACAGCCUAAAUCAAAUUAAUUUAACAAUAAAACUAUAAUAAUUAAAUUCCAAAAAAAUCAAAUAAAUGUUUAAAAUUCCAUAAAUAAAGAAACAUAGAAGACCAAUCAAAUAGAUCCAAAUUUAACAAGAGCACACCUAGGAUUUUCAAGUUUUACACGUACAGGGUUCAAAUUUGACAAGAAAACAUCUAGGUUUUACAAGAUUUAGGUGUGUAGGGUUCGAAUUUGACAAGAACACAUCUAGGGUUUUUAAGUUUACAUAUAUAGGGUUCGAGUUUGACAAGAACAUUAAAAUUGAAAUGGAACACAACACUAGAAAUAUUAUUUACCUGUAUUGAUCGAACGGUUACAAUAGUGGGUGAGCGUGGGCUCUCAGUUAGGGUAUUGAAAUUCAAUAGUAGUAGCACAUGCGUUUGGUGGGUAUUCCAUAUAGUUCUCGGUGAGAGCCAAAAUUGAUAGUCAAAUACAAGAGAAUGGCGGCAGUGGUUCAGUGCCCAUGCAAGGAUUUCGGGUGAAAAGGGCUUUGUGAGUGUGAGAUUCACGAGAGUGACUGAGCGAGAGACGAGAGUGAGUGAGAGUGCCGACACUUAGGGAAAAAAAAUUCGAUUAGUGAAAACUGAAGAGGGUUUUGUUUUUAUUUAGCUUCAAUCUAAACGGUGUUGUUUCUUGUCCAAAGAGAAACUUUUAAUCCAAACGGUACCGUUUAUUCUAUAUUUAUUUUUUUCAUUCAUUUUAAAAUUUUCAGUCAACCUUGUAAAAUAAAGUCAAAAUAAAAAAGCUACUUGAUGAUCUAAAUUAUAUCACAAACUUGUCAUUACUUCUUGAUAACCAAAUAAUUUAUCAUCAGUCUAUCAUAAGUGCUUGAUAGAUGAAAUUUCUAUCACAAGUAUGUCAUAAAUGAAUGAUAGAAAAAAAAUUUAUCAUCCAUCUAUCGUAGUAGCUCUGCAGACCAAAAACUGUCACACAGAGGACUGUCAUGGUAGGUCAUUUUUCUUGUAGUGCUAGUUUUGAGAUGGAUACCCCUAUUGCAAACGAUAGAAUUUGAUUGCUGCUACAAAUACUUCAUUUGUGAAAAUGGUUUUCUAAUUUUUAUGUGUUGGCUUGCGGUAAAAUUGCUGAUUUAAAAUAUAGCGAAGACAAAGUUCUUAUGAGAAUGUGAAUCAAUGAUAACAUAUAUUGGCAUUAUAGUAGCAUGUGAUGAGCUUUUUUUCUCCUUUCCUUAAAUUAGGCAAUUGAACUGUCAAUUUUGCUUUCUUUUAGCUUCUAUAUUCUCUUUUUCUUUGGAGGUACAAUGGAUGUUUUCAUUUGGAUAGUUCAGCUUAUGAAAAAAUAGCUCUAUGCAAUUAUUAGACUGUAAACUAUUAUUAAGGUAUGCAUGUUUGUUCAUAGUUACACUAGUUAUUGCUCUAAUUCUUUUCUUGGGCAGGAAUAAGAUGCAGAGUUAUGGGACUCAGAGUUAAGAGACUAGUAUUCUUGAGGCCAACAAUUGCAGGCUAUUUAAGAUAAGUUGUGAAAUUUUGGAUUGUUGUAGUUUGAAUACUUCAAUGGUGUGGAUUGUAUGGUUAAAUAGAUAUCCAGGUUGUAUUAAUUGGGGUUUUUAAUUUUUUGUAUCAUAUUUAAUAUUUAUUUUAGAUUUAUAAAUUUAUUCUAGAAACAAAUUUGUAGAAUUUGAGAAUUCUAAUAGCAGCAGGAUCAACAACGACGACGACGUUAAUAUUAAUUCAAUACAAAUAAUGAUAACAAUGUAAUUCAAAGUAAUAAUGCUUUUAAUUAAUUUUAAUAUUGCAAUAAUAUCAAUUUUCAGCCAAAAAUUUCAAAAAAUUCCAAUAAUUUUAAUAAUUUUAAUUUCCCAUUAAAAGAUUGAGUAACAUAUAUAUGACUGUGAAAAACUGUCAUGAAUUCAUGAUGGAAAAUAUUCUAUCAUAAAUUAAUGAUAUUGAUAUAGAUGACAGAUAAAUUAUUUGCAAUGCACUCUUUUUUAUGACAGUUAUUUACUGUCAUCUAUUGUCUAUUUUCUUGAAGUGUGCUUUUGUAAGUAACAUCAUAUAUUAGAAAUCAGUCCACGAUCUUGUUUUUAAAGUCCAAAAAAGAUAUUAUGUCAUAUGGUGUAAUUAUGUGGCAUAACAGUUUUUCCAAACUUUAAGAAAGUUCAGAAUCCUAGAUCAGACGAGUACUCCAUCAUAUAUACUCCAAUAAAUUCUUAGCAACACAUCUUUUGUAUUUCGAGUCUAUAUCGAAAGGAUUUUAUUUAAUUAAAUGCAAAAUAAUAUAAAAUCUAAUAAUUUUUUUAGUUUCUAGUUCAUGCUUAUAAUAAUGUUCGAAAUUAAUAGAUGAAAGAAAAAUAUUAGUUUUUUUAAUUUAAUUCAUAUAUUCUAAAUCAUAAUUUAUAUAAAAAAAAUCGCUGGAAAGAAAUGAAACUUUUUUUAAAAAAUAUAUGUAAUGGGUAUCAUUUGAAAAAAAAAAAUUGCAUGAUUACAAUGAUUACAAGCUCAUUCAAUGGCUAGUUUCAUCAUUUGAACUCUGCGGCGACAAAGAGACGACAGAAACGUGGGUCCCUUUAUCUGUCGCUUCACUCCAUUCAACAUCUGAACUCUUUGUCUAUUUAGUCUAUUACUUUUUCAGUUUCGAUAUUCUUACAACAUUGAGUACUAGCACAAAACGGUGAGUUUGAGACAAGCAUAAAAGGUCACAGUAAAUUCUCAAUUGCAACAAUCUCUCUCUCACGCUCUUCCUCACCAAUCCACUAAUCUCAUCACGCUCCGUUCUUCCUUACCACUCUCACUGUCGGCUCCCUCUCUCUCUCCCCCAUCGAUUGCAUCUCUCACGGCACCUCACUCUCUCGGCUGUCUCAAAGAGAAAGACCAGAUGCUAAUGAUGUCAUCUCUAAUUCAGAAAAACAUAUCCCAAAAAGAAUUACAUCAAGUUUUAUUAGGGGCCAUACCAGAGGCAAAAAGAAAUGAAAUCCAAUACAUAAUAUCCCAAACAACAAAACCUAAGAAAUAAACUAACAAAUAAGUAACAUUGACAGCCCAAAAAUAAGUUUCCUUUCAAAAAGUCGACACAAGCCAACAAUUGCAUAAAAGAAUUUUGCCUCAAUUAUUUCUACAUCUAACAUCCCCAAACACAACCUAUUGCUCUAUUGGUAUACACUAGCAACUGAAGGAGCUGAGUUUACGGUUGGCAAUUAUUCUUCACUAAUAUCUGAUGCAAUUCACUGCUUGCUUUUGGCAUCUAUAUGUGUAGAGAAUUGAUGGUUUCCUUGCUGGUUUCCUCGCUGUACUUAGCAUUACUAGGGGAAACUUUUCACCACAAUCACAGAAGCUGUCAUUUUCUGUUACUAGAGUGGAUGGGGAUUGCUAUUUACUCUAUUAUGCAUCCAUAGAUAUUGGAUUUGGAGGGGGGAGAGCUAGAGUAACCCACGGCUGUUGGAUUUGGAGGGAGGAGAGAGAGAGCCGUGUGUUGUGAGGAAGAACAGAGAGAGCGUGAGGAAGAACGUGAGGGAAAGAGCGUGUGCUGUAGUUGAGAGCGUGUGUGUUGCAAUUGUCGAUUUACAGAGAGAGCGUGAGAAACAUUUCCAAAGUUGUUUCCCUUUACUCAUUUUUUUUUUAUUUCUUGUGGGUCCACACAAAUUUAAAAGAAACAAAAAUCUAACACGUGAAACAGCAAUUCAAAAUUGCGUUUCUGUCGUCCUUUUGUCUUCAUUGAGUUAGUUUAUCAUUUUCCUUAUAACAACCGAAACACUCCGGAAAUCCAAUGCAUUUAACAAAAGGCACGCGCACACAAGCAUGACAAUUGAUUCACACAUGCAUAUUUAAUUAAUUAACUAAAACAUGGUACUUGAAAAGUCUUUGCGGGUGCCUACAAAUUGAUAUUUAGACUGUUCCACCAUUCAACCUGAAAUCAUCAAGUGAAAGAAACAAGAUCAUGCAUGUUGUUAGAUUUUGAAAGGAUAGCGAAGAUGGCACUAGAUUAAUCAAAUUGUGACACCUCCUUACAUAAGAAUAACCAAAUUGUUCAUAUUAGAGGACUCUUGUUCCAAAAUGUGCUUCAGAUCACAUAACUUAUUUUCUUUUCUUAUGAUAACCUCCAUCCCAUUUUCAACCUUUUCUUUCGACAGCCAUUCAUCAUAUCCUUCUAUUUGGAGAACUUUCAUGGUAGGAAAUCUCUUGAGGAAAUCAUCAAGUGAUAAAAUAGGAGUCCACUCAUCAGCAAACUCCACAUUAGGACAUUUAAAGUUUACAUAACUAGUCUUCCGAAAAUAGACAUUUAUUUGAUCAAUCAGAACAAAAAAAAAAAAUUGCAAAAUGGAUUAGUUGAUGUUCUUUCUAACAAUUUCACAAAAUUAGUAUUGUAAUUUUUAGAGAGAAUUUAACAAAAAAUAAAAGAAUUAGAAGCUACGGCUAGCUAAAACAAUAUAUUUAUCCAAAAAAAAACUACCUUUUAGAAAAUAAUAACAAUACACCUAACAUGCAGAAAGUAUAUAUAUAAGAAUUGAAUAAUUAAUUAUAAAUUUCAUAUACGUACCUUUUCUGUCAAGUCAUCUCAAACAGAGGCCAAGUAUUGUUGAGAUCAGAGGAUUGAUAAUAACAAAAGAUUGUUGGCAAAAGCGGAAUAACAAAUCAACAAUGAACACAACAAAACCGAAGCAAAGUGUGUCUCUGAUCAAAAGAUGGAAAUAAUAAGGAAAGGGUUUGUUGAUUUUUAGGAAUGAAUGCAAAGAGAAUGGCCGAUGCUAAAAAUUAUUUCAUUAAUGGAGAGAGGUAGAGAUAAUGGACGUAAAUAAGGGAAAGGAUUUUGCGGAUUGCAAUGACAUCCGCAUCAGAAGGAUAAAAAAUUGAAGUGAGCCUUUUUAUUUUUAGUGCAUGCUACGCUGUACGCCUAAGGUCCUUUUAUUUUAAAAUCUCGGAAUAAAGAUGGAUUAUUGAGUAUACGGGAUGAAAAGGUGGUAGCUUUAAAUUAUGGUUAUUUGUUAGCCUAGGGAUGAUAGACCAAGUAUAAAUGUUAAAUUCAGAACAGAAUAUUUAUGAUGUCAGUUGGUACUUGGUACUAAAAUCCUGAAUACUUGAGUAGUUAAAAGCCAAAAUUAAAUAUUAAAAUAUACAAAGGAGAACAAUGGUUUGCUAAAGGUUUAAGGAGUGAGGUUCCUUUCCGCUCAUUGAAGAAAAUCUAGGAACAAUAAUGCCGAUUCAACCAUGUAUAAUUUAAUGUUAAUUAAAGUUAAAGCCAUCAUAUUCGUAAAUAUGCUUGGAUUAAAGCUGUUGUGUUGAAUAUACAUAUAAUAAUCAUUGCUCAAGUUUCCGAAAUGUGAAUCUUUAAAUGUCCAUUUCUUCACUCUGAGGAGAUGUUAACGAGGAAGAUGAAGCAAUGCUAUAACAGUGUUUAAUUUCUUGCGACCAUUUCACCAAAUACUUGGUACGCAUAAAUGGUCAAUCAUACUUGUCAAAAAAAUUGAUGAACAUUCACUCCUACAGAAGCAAAUCAAUGUUUGUAAAAAUCAUAAUUAGCCAAAGAAAGUUCAUGUAAUGUUUGUAAAAAUCAUAAUUAGCCGAUGAAAGUUCAUGUAUUUUUUUUUCUUUUAAGAUUCAAGACAAUUCUUCAAAGAUGAAAUCAGUUUUUAUUGAUACGUUCAACAAAUUCGAAGGCAUUCGAACCUUUUGUGGCACGAAUUGCUAGUUUUCUACACAAUUAAUCAAAUCAACGACAAAGUACAAAAUAUGUUAUUGCAUUUGUUUUGUUAUAUAUGUGUGUUACAAAAAUAGAGAUAAUCGCUAUGCCAAUAAAAUAACAGUAAUGAUAUGCUUACUACCAUUAAUAUUGCCGUUAGUAGUUUGUACACCAUUACUACUGGAUAAAAAAAAAUUUACUACAAAACAAAAGAAAAUUAAAUGAUAAUACAAAUUGUUUUUGGUCUCUUAUAGAUUUUGUACUAAUUAUUAUACUAAUUAUCAAUAUUCAUAAGAAAAUAAUGUACAACAAUGAAGGAACUAUACAGAGGUAAAAACAUUUUUUUUUUAAUUUUUUUAAUGAAAGUAAAGAUUUAUUUUGGUACUUGGAAGGAUAUACAAAGCAAAAGAGUAUAUGAUAAAGUGCAAAAAACCACACCCUUCAUGGUAAUAUAAUGAGUUGAAUUAUUUUUUAAAUCUAGUUAAAAAUUUAGCUUAAUUGUAAAUAAAGUGAAAAGAGCUAGAUUGAUUGUCAAUAUCAAAAUUUAAAAUUUAAUUUUGAUCACCCAUUUAACUAGAAGAGAUUAAGAGAGGAAAGAAAACUAAGAGAAGAUCUUUGUCCCAUGAAUAAACUCAAGAUGUAUCAAACAGAUACUUUUGGUGAAGUCAGGGGAGCUGCAAGACUGCUCUUUCCCGCCCCUUUGUAACGAACUUAACUGACCUUUGACUUGGUCAGAAUACGUGAUGCACGCAAUGCAAGCACGUGAGGACCCAAAUGAGGAAUUCCAAAAGUUGGACACCCCCAAACGCAGCGUUUUGGUUCUGGUCUUGAAUAUUGAUUCAUCAACAACAAAUAUCAUUCCAACUUUGGGGGGGGGGGGGGGGGACACCAUAAACUAUACCUUUUCCAUUCAUUAUAUCAUAAGAAUACAAUGAUUAACAAUAUCAAAUUUAAGUGACAAUCAAUAAAAACUGAAGCCAAUAUAUACACAACACUGAAACAAUGAAAUUGUUAUUGUUUGACAAAAUAAAAAAUUAUACAAAUUAAACAAACUGAAAAAAGAAAAGAAAUUGUGGUGAGCGCGAAGCAGCUGCACUUGGACAUUCAAGAGAAAGAUAGUUAUUUUCCUCCAGAAACAACUACAAUUACAUAAAAAGGUAACUUUUCAUCUCUUUCAAUUUCUUAUACACACAACUGAAGAGAGAUAUAGAAAAUUAAAGGAAAAAAAAUGAGAGAGAGACACAUAAUAGAUUUUGCAGGAGCACAAUUGUCCCUCAGUUGUGUAUAUAAGAAAUUGAAAGAGAGAACCCCUUUCUGAAUGAAAAGUUCCCUUUAUAUAGUCAUUAUAGUGUCUUUGACGAAUAUCAGACCGACAUUUUAGACCUUUGGAAACUCAAGACAACAAAGGCUAAUUUAGCCAUUUUAAGAAAUUAUGAUUUCGUCCCUUCAAUAUUAUCAAUGUAAAUUCCAUCCGUCGUUCCAUUACGGGAAGACCACGCAACCAGAGCAUUAUACCAAUUUUGUAUAUCCGCGUCAAUCUUUAUAAUAAUAAUACUAAAAAGUUCCGAAGAGAAAAAGGGGGGAUAGGCGGCGGGUCCCUAUUGGGCCAGAAGUUACGGACUGUAGAAGCUAAGCCACAGAGCUCCCAUUGGAGAGUCGAUCACGGCCACCACCGAGCCCAGCGUGGAUUUACAAGAGCAGUUGGCCGCACUCGUGCUCGUCAAAAAGUGAUAAUAUUUCAGGGCUGAUGCUACAAUACCUGCAUGUAUCUGAUACAUGCAGGUUUUAUGGCCGUUGGAUUCAUUGUAUUAAAUCCAACGGCCAUAAGUGAAUUUAAACAAUAAAUAAUUAAAAAAAUAUAAAAAAUUUGAAACCUAUAGAAUCGGUCUCAACACACACCAAACCCCCUCAACACACAUCAAACCCAGGCAUAUAUAUUUGUUGGAAAAAAAAACAAAAGGCUCUCUCACCUCACGCUGGAAAUCAAUUUCUUCUUCCCUCCCUCCUGACUCACGGUUCACGGCUCACGGCUAGCUCUCCCUCUCCCUCUUCACUCACCCUCACGGCUCCCUCUCCCUCUCCCUCAUCAUUCACUCUCUCGCUUGCAGUCCCUCACGAGACGCCUCAUCAAGGCCACCAACGACGGCGCUAUCCGGCGACGACACAAGGAGGUAGAUCUCCAUUGGCGGCAAGGAUCCACAGCUAUAGAUUCACAACCCACUCAGUUCCCGUCAGCCCAUUCUGAGUCAUUGUCAGGCCAUCUCUGCAGUCCACCUACGGUAAUGAGACAUGGGUAUCAUGGGUUUUGCUUGGUAUCAUUAUAUUUGUUGAUUGAGUGUUUUAUUUGAUGUGGUAAGAAGAAUCAUUCGCCUCUCAUAUUUAAAAAUUACAACUUUUACCAUGUAAGUUUAUUAGUGCGUAUUGUUGGGUUAUGUAAUAAUUUACAUGGAUUUAGAAUUCGUGGACAGAGUUUGAUGACAUUAUCAAUGUGUAUUGACAAGGGACAUAAGUUUUAGUGUACACAGUAUAAUGGUUAAGCGUAAGGCCAAUGUCGCAGAUGACAUUAAUAUUCAGUUUGAGAAGUUGGAUCCUCCAAGGCCGGGCAAGCAUUCGUACAUAUACUGCUUGUAAGAAACUAAUUCAUUGUUGAAUUUUAUUCUUGACAUUCUGUAGUCAUUUCAGUUUAACAGUGCAAUAAUUUUAAUUGACAUAUAAAGAACUGAUAUUUGAUAUUAUUUUUCUAUCUACAGCAAGAUAGAAUCCCAAAAGUUAAAGGAAGAAGGUGUGAAGGUGGACGAAACGGUUUGUAGACAACUUUUCUAUGUUACAAUCUACUAACUAAUAGUUUCGUUGAUGAUUGGCCAAAUAAUUUUUUUUUUUAGUGUAGGUUAAGGGGCGUAUACGUGACAAAUGGUUGAAACUCAGCGCGAAAGAUAAAGCUGAAUUCAUCAACAAUUAUAAUGAAAAGGUUGAAAUGAACUCGAGAUUGGCUAGUGGAUUGUUAAGUGAACCGAUUCCAACAAUGGAGAACAAUUCUGAUAAGGGUAAUCACAUAUCUCGAUGUAGUGUUUUGCGGUUCUCCAACAUUGUUUCUUCGUUAUCUAUUGAACAGCAAGAUGAUGUGAGAGAAAUUGGUUUCGGAAGCUUAUUAGGUUUAAAAUGUGGGUGACUUAGGCAAGAUUUAUGUAGAUUGUUAGUUAAGCAAUGUAACGUAGAUAAGCGGUCAAUAACAGUCCAUGGAAUGGAAUACAAGCUUACCCCGGAAACUUUUACAAGCGUGAUGGGUAUUGGUGACGGAGGAACACCGAUUGUGCUUGGUGGUGAAGAUAGUGAAAUUACUGACUUACGAGCCAAGUAUUGCUCAGGAAAGAAAGGCAUCCCAAUAGGUAGUUUAGAUGACAAAUUAAAGAUAAAUAGUUGUGCAGAUGAAGAUUUUUGUAUUCUAUUUAGUCUAUUUGCGAUUGGAACUAUUUUGUGUCCAACUACAGCUGCAUACAUCAACCCAUCAUACCUUUAUGCUUUAAAAGACGUGAGUAACAUUCGCGGCAAAAAUUGGGCCAACUGGUCUUUCAAUUUUUUAUGGGAUAAAGUUUCAAAGUUCAACGAAAAUAAAAUUUCCUCGAUGAACGGAUGCGUUAUAUUUUUAAUGGUAUGAUUUAUUUAGUAAUUUGUAUUCUCGUUAGUUAAAAGAUUAUGGUAUUAUUGAUCAUUAUUUUCGUAUUAACCAAUUUGUUGUUUGUAGCUGUUCUACAUGUCAUCAACUAAGUUUCAGCUUUCUUCUGUUGCCGAGAAUGGAUGUCCUCUUAGUGCAUGGACUGAUAGUGAAAUAAAAAGAUUCCUCAAGUGGCGACAAAAGUAUGGUGACUUUGAGAGCAAUGCAGUUUGUUCCCUUCCAUAAUUGUAAAGUGUUUUGUAGUUAUGUUAUUAAAUUGAAUAGAUUAUUUAUGUAUAUUUGUAGUUAAUGCAGGUUCCGAUGCGAGAAAUCAGUUGCGGCACAUCAUGUGCUUAAAGUGACGGACAAAUUGACGAUGGUGACGCCGCAAGGCAGCAUCCAUUUCAUGCUAUAUUAGCAGUAAUGGGUAGAAUAGAGGAACAUAUGAGAAGAAAUAAUGAUUUACUACAAAAAAUGGGCUUGAAAAUGGAUUCUCUUACUGAAAAGGUUGAAACGUUAGAACGAGCAUAUUUUCGACAAGUAGGAGCGAAUGUCACUGAUGAUAGUCAAUCACUAUCAUCAAUCACUUCCUACAUAUAUGGUGCCGAGGCAACUGAUGGUCUAAUCUUUUCCUCUUCGAAUAUGGAGAUGCACCCACCUAUCCCUGCAAUUGUCACGCUUUCAGAUCUAGUAUGGGAAAAGCAUACGCCCAUCGAAGUUAAAGAACGCAAAGUUGUGUACCUUAGCACAUCCACUGAUGAAGAGGCUAUCCUAAAAGAAAAGUUGGUAGAAGUAUUGCAAGAUGCGAUAAAGCCUAAAUUUGUGCCGGAACUUGAAGAUGAGGUAUACAUAGAGUAAUAAUUUAUUAACUUUUGUUUAAACUAUAUAUGAUUUAGUCUAAUCUUUCUUCUUUCUUUGUGUUGAAUAAAUAUGUAGUCUUCCGCGCAACAAGAGAAGAAAUGUCAACAGCCGCAAGAUUUUAAUCUGUUGUCUUUAGGCCCUACUCAGCCAUACAGAAAUCGAAAGCGGGGGCGGUACCAAUUGUCCCCAUAUGAUCAAGUCUCACAUGGUCCAAAGCCAAAAUAUCGAGCAGACCCUUUUUCGUGAAUGAGCCGGUGACCCUCGAUCAAUUGAAGAUGCUCCAGUAGGGAUUUGACAAAAGCGCUAGCCUAGAGUAACAAUGCCUUCAUGCUCACUCAUCAAGUUGUUUUCAUUUAAUAUGUUGUCAUAGUUAUUUGAUUUUGUUAAUAUAUCAUGUGAUUUACAUACAGUGAAAUAAUUAUGCGAUCAAGUCAUGAGGAUAUCACUCGGCGAGGCUUGUUAUCACUUUUGCCCGAUGCAUCACCAGACGAGGAGGUUUGCUCGUAAUUUGACUUUAAUGAUGAAAUUGUAGUUAAUAAAACUAAUUAUAAUUGUUCUUGUGUUUAGAUUAUUUGGAUGAUAAGUGAUUACCUUACACAAUGUGAGUCGUGCAAAAGCCACGGACAACCAAUCAGUUGGUUCCUACCAACAAGAUAUAUAGUUACUGAUCCGUUCCUGUCUUUUUUUUUUUCAUAUCCUUUUUCUCAUCAUUAACUACAGUAAUUUCAGUUGUAUUUUAUAUGAAUUUAAUAUGAUGAAUAUGUAGCAAUUGCUACAAUGCCAAAUGCACAUUUAGAUGGUUUCAAGGCUGCCUCCCAAUACCGCAAACGUUACAUGUAUGACCUGCACCGGUGCCAUCAGGUAGCGUGUGUGUUUGGUGAAAUGGUUUUUCGUUAUGAUCGAUAUUAUGUAUGGUAAACGUGACCCCAAGUUGUUCUUGAAUAGAUCUUUGUUCCCAUGCAUGAUGGUGGCCACCAUUGGUUUAUGCUGUUGGUUAAAAUUAAAGACAAACAAGCGGAGAUCUGGGAUCCACUACCGGAUGCACGACGGACACAAGAUCGAGAAAUCUAAGUGAAUAGUAUUGUAAGCCCAACUAAUUUUUGAUAAAAAAGAUGAGUUUAGUUUUAUGUGUAUUGUGUUAUUAAUACAUGUGAUGUAUUUUUGCACUUGAAAAUAGUUACACUCGUUGGAUGCUAUACUUCAUGGCGUCGUGGAUGCUACAUAUUCAGUAACUUGGAGUUUCUUGUCAUUUGUAGUGAUCCAUGGGGAAGGAGUUCCACGGCAACCUAACAGUUUUGAUUAUGGAGUUAACGUCAUCAAAUUUAUGGAUACUCCUGGAAUCAUCACCAACAAAUCGUAUGUGGUAUGCUUCCUUAUUUGCCUUAUGUGGUUUCUUGGUUGAUUUUACUACUGUUGUUGGGCCAUUGACAUGAUGAAAGUGCAUGAUUAUUUCCGCAGCACGACUCACAGAAUGUUCAGGCGCAACUUGCGUUACAACUUAUAGACUCUUCGUUCAACGAACAAUGCGAUCAAUUAUUGGCGUUGGCUAAUGCACACUAUAGUAACGCUGUAACGUACAUAAAUGAAUCGAAGCUUGCAUCAACAAUGAAGCCUCGUAAUGUGUCCACCAGGAAAGGUCAUAAGAACAGUUGCACAAAACGUUGUUUCAGGCGGAAGGGCUGAGAUUGUUGUGAAUAUAGAUUAUGGUAAUUUUUUGCUAACUUCAUUCACAACUCUAAACUUUUGCUAAAUUUACCUUGUAACUGGCGUUGACGUACGAGUCAUGUAAAUUGUUUUGAUGAUCCGAAGCCGUAGAGGGAUUAAUGGGGCAAUUAUAAUUUUUUCCUUCGUCAACCAGUUGUAUUAAUUAAUACAUGUUGAAAUGAAGAUAAUUGCUGUAAAUGUUGCUAUUAUCACUAAGUACGCAAAAUAUGUUAUUACAUUGCCAUUGUUCACUUCUUACAUGAUAAUAUAACUCAAUGAUUUCCAAAAAGUUCGUUCUGCCCCCUCGGUUCAGAUCCAAAAAGUGCAUCAUUAGCGAUCAUCAUCCAUCCUCCAAGUAUGUGUACCGUCGUCAACUAAGCAUAAUAUAAAUCCGAGUUAGUUAAACAACCUAAGAAAGUUUGCCAGGCAAAUUCAUAUAUCAUGGGAUAUCACUUACAAGUUAUUAUGAGGCCACCAAUUAUAGUAUGUGCUUGCAUCGGUUUCAUAGGUUAUACCAAUUGUGUUACUGCUGUCGUAAUGGCCGUCAAUUGCUUCUGAGAUGUCAUGCCUCCAAGGACAAGUUGUCUCGAAUGUAAAGGUUGGGGAACUUGGCGAGCCUGAUUCCAUCGAAACAGGUGGUGUCAACACAUUAUAAGAACAAUGCCUUGGCUGAUCGUUAGUCGAAACACAACCAGUACCGCCAACGUUGCAAUAAAGGUCAUUAGGCUGCAUGUCCUUUUGGCGGAUAUAGCGGGCAAGUCCGUUUAGUAUGGCCAGACUAAAAACACUUACUGCAUUUGCGAUUUUUAGCCCCAUCAUGUUUAACGGUUUUAGAGCUACCUUUACUGUUAACUAUAAUCGAGUCUUUCAACUUCAUACCUGCUUGAAAUACACAAUUCCUGGCUCAUUUAGCUGAUUCAUCAUCGGCAACCAUCUGUUCAACGCGAAGCGUCAGCCGUUGAAUCUCGUCUAACGCUAUCAUAUAACUUUGUUCAUUCUUUGUAGCGAAAAGACAAAGAUUCGUACAUGCCACUGAAAGCGAGCCAAACUUUAUUGUUUCUAACACUUCCUUAUCAAGGUGUGACGCUGCAGCGGUCAUUUUCAUCACUUUACUCACCUUCGCUGAUUUAGUUCAGUGACCAAGAAUCAAUGUUGGUGGUAUGCGAACUAGUUGCUUGAACUUUAUAACGUGAAAUAUUUGCCUACAUGGAAUACCUGCUGAUUCUAUCAUCUUACAUGAAUAAAUAAUUGCAACUUCUUUAUUAUAAAGUAUCACUGUCCAUUUUUAUUCUGGAUGCUGAAAUUUCGUCAAAAUAUAGAUGUUGGAAUUAGCUAUCUUGGCACACCCGAGCAUAAUUAGCGUGGCUUCUCCGAGGAUCUCCAUCCGAACCCACUUCAAUACAUUCCUUGUAUAUAUUUCGGAUGCAUGUUUUUCAAUGCUUUGCAGAUGUGUUGUAAGAACUAGGGCUGUGUGGUUUGUCUCAUACUCAUCUUGGACUUCUUUGUGCCGUAUGCAAUACAUUGCAUGAUGAAUUUGUCUAAUGAAAUCAUAUAGUUUUAGCUUCUGCUCAACAAAGCGACGCAAGUAAGAAUUCAAGUUCUCACACCUUUGUGUGGUUCGCAUUCCGGCGAAAAAGGUUCCUUUCAAAUAAGCCUCUGUCCAUUUUCUACGCUUUGCAUACAUUUUUUCCACCCAAGGAUUUUGUUCCAGUCCCAGAUUAUAGACAACAGAGAACCAAUCUCGAUCAAACUCCUCUAUGGACAUUGCAUUCAACAUUAACUGCCGAAACUUCAACGUGAACUCAUUUCUCUUCACAUUUGCUUGUGCAUUCCGCUCAAGAUUCCAGCAACAGAGUCGAUGUACACAUCCAGACAUAACCGUUUUAAUCGCUUUACAUAGCUUUAUCACCAUCUGUUAUGACACUUAUGGGUUUUUUUUUGUUUCAUUGCUGAUAAGAAAGUCUGUAUCAGCUACACAUAUGAUUUAACAGUUUUGUUAAUCAGUAUCGCAAAUCCAAAAACAGUAGUUCUUUUAUGAUGAUUUACGCCAACGAAUGCGACUAAAGGUUUGUUGUAUGCAUUUUUCUUGUACGUUGCAUCAAAAGCUAAAACAUCUCCAAAUUGUUCAUAGUCGUACCGAGCAACAGUGUCGGUCCAGAACAAGUUUCGCAGUCGAUUUUCCUCAUCAAGUGUAUACUCGAAGUACACUCCAGCAUCAUAAUUUGUGCACAGUGAUUUGCGUCUAUUCUAUUCCGCAUGUCCUUACCCAUAUACCCAACAUGAUGGAACCCUCCUACUUGGUCAGACUUGUAAUUCAUGAAUUGUCACACUUUCACGCCAACUUGUCGCAAUGCCUUUGCGUGAGCCAAAUCAGCUUCGUUGACAAGUCUAUGCGAACGAAGAAAUUGUGUCUCGUGCGGUUCAACCAACCGAUGAGUGUGGUAAAAAACAAAUUUAGUUACCACGUACUUCCCUUUCAACUUAUCAUAGUUCACGCGAAGUUCCGCUUUGCACCCAUUACGAGUAAUGCCCCUCAGUUCCCUGAUUCUAUCUGUUUUCUCCAUCCAUUUUUUUAGCAUGUAUCCUUGCCCUGAGCAAACCUAUCGCCGACUUGCUACUUCACCACUUUUGCAGUCACGACGGAGUUUAUCUGUUGUCACAGAGAAUCCAACCGACUUAACAUAAUUUUUAUACCAUAUGUGGGCAUCAUUGACAGUAUUAAAACAGGAUCCGACACCCACUUCAAUGAGUUCACUUUUUUUAGCCAAACUGUUGGUCGUAUGACCAGAUGAUAUUGUAGCAGAUUUGUCCCCAAAAUAUUCAUUGCUUUCGCUAGUUUGUGGGGGUAAUGACGUACCUGCACUUGCACAAAUUUCCAUCCCAUUAUCAUAUAAUGGGUUAUCUUGGGCUCCACUUGUUUUCUGUUCCAAUGGCUGGUUAUCAUUGAGGUCUAACACCCAUGCAGAAAUGCUUCCCGCGUCUGAAGAUGUUGUCAUGCUCUCUGGUUAUCUUCUCUCAAGACUCUACCAUUUCAAGACCAUCAAAAGGACCUACUUGAAGACUUAGAAGAGUACUGCGUGGGUUAUGUUUGUUUGACAUUUAAUGUCUUCAUUAAAUGAUGGGGUUUGGUUGGUGCUUGGAUUGGUGGAUACAUCCUUUAAACGGCUAGCCUAUUACCUAUAAAGGCUAGUCGGUUUCGCAUUUGUGCUCUCUGGACAUUAAACGGCUAGCCUCUUAAACUCAUGCGGCCAGCCUUUAUCGAUUUGAUGUUCAGUGGAGGGGAAACCGCUAACCUCUAAAAUUGUAGAGGGUAGCCAUUUGUGUAUGGGUGCUCAUUGGAGGGGAAACGACUAGCCGUUUGUGUAUGGGUGCUCAUUGGAGGGGAAAUGGCUAGCCUCUAAAAUUUUAGAGGCUAGCGGUUUGAGUAUGGGUGCUCACUGGAGGGGAAACGGGUAGCCUCUAAAAUUUAAAAGGCUACCCUUUUUCGCGUUGGGGCUCAUUGGUUCAAAAACGGCUAGCCUAUAAAAUGGUGGAGGCUAGCCAUUAGUGUAUGAGUGCUAACUGGAGGGGAAACGACUAGCCUCUAAAAUUGUGGAGGCUACCCGUUUUUUAUUUUGGUGAUCACCAUUAGUGAAAACGGCUAGCCUGUAAAAUUUAGAGGCUAGCCGUUUUUUGUUUUGGUGCUCUCUGGACAUUAAACGGCUAGCCUCUAAAAAGAAAAGGCUACCCGUUUUUGCUUUUUGGGCUCUCUGGACAUUAAACGGCUAGCCUCUAAAAAUAAAAGGCUAGCCGUUUUCGCUUUUGGCGCUCUCUGAACAUUAAACGACUAGCCUAUAAAAAUAAAAGGCUAGCCGUUUUCGCUUACUAUAGUUUCUGGAACACGAACGGUCACCAUAUUAUUUUGUAAUGGUUAGUCGGGUUCAAAGUAAUGAAACCGUUCAUCUUCGUCUUCACAAACCAGUUAGCCGCUUCUCACUCUAAAACUCGAAUCCUCUCUCCCACGUUCUCAGUCGAAAUAUCCCAUGUUUAUAAUCAGUUCAUACCCAUAUUCAAUCUUAGAAAUCAUUUCCCACCAUUUGCUCUUGCUAAAUUUAACCGUCAAAACUGAAAAACCCGAGGUUGUAAACCCUAGGUCCAAUUUUUGAAUCUUCGGUAAAUGUUUACCGAAAUUGAACCCACGUAUCCCUUUUAAACAUCAUUAUCUUCCAUCUAAUCGGUUUAUUCCUCUUCAAAUCGAUGAAAAAUCAUAAUGUCAACUUCAUGGCCACGUAGAGCGAAAGACAAAGGGAAAGAGCCAAUUCCACCACCCAAACGGACACGGAAGGACGGGGGCCCUGUAGAACAACCUGAUUUCGAAUCAAGACACUUCCCAGACAAGUGUUUGGCCACCCGUUUUCGCCAAAGAUUCAUGACCCGUAAGGUACUUGAUACAUUCUAUAUUGUGCCUGAUUGGCUUCGUAGUCUUAGUAUUAACAAUGGAAAUUUGUUGCAAUUGUUGGAGGAAGUUGGUUGGAUUAAUGCCCUUACGAUUAAUGAGAAUGUAUAUCCUGACUUGGUGAAAGUUUUUUACUCGAAUAUGGAUACUUCCACGGAGAAAGAGAAUCGAGUAAUCACCAACGUUGGAAGAGUUUUGAUUGAAUUUGAUGGUACUGAAUUGAACUCUAUCCUACAAACCUCCGAAGAUGGGUUAGAAAUAUAUUCUGCUUGGAAAGUUCCUACGAUUGAUAACUUUUUUCAUGUUGAUGCCGUUAGAAACAUUUGUAGUGCAUUGAUCUUUCUGAUGAGGUCUGUACAAUUCAUUUCCGUGCUCAAUGUCUAUGCCUUCAAUCGCGUAUUUUACAUCGUAUAAUUCAGAAUAUUGUCCUUCCUCGGUCGGGCCACUUAGAUGAUGUUACCCACAUGGAUGUUGCUUUGAUUGAUUCUAUCCCCAGGUAUCGUCCGGUUAGCCUCGGAUACACUAUUAUACGUACCAUGCUUUCCAUACCUAUCUUGAUCAGUCGUGCUCUUCCAUAUGAAAAUUUCAUCACGCAUAUCCUUAAAUACUUUUGGGUGCCCAUAAACGAACCGUCUUGUAAACCCUGUAGGAGUAUAGAAGAUGAGGUUGUGUAUGCCUUAGGAUUUGAGUGGCGUAAUGGAGCAUGGGUGAAGUAUACUGAAGCUAAGUACACAAUGCUUGCUCCGAGUGAUGAUCGUCCUUUGAAUUCUGUGGUUCCUGCUGAUCAGCUGCCUAAUUUUUCACUUCCUUUCUGGGGUCAACAUAGACGUGAGGACCCUCCUACCUGUGAACCUUAUCAUGAUGCUUCUGCAUCUGCUAUACCACCUGCAGAUCCACAUGACUUCGGCGAAGUUACUCUUCAACAACUUAUGGACGAGGUGAGGACACUUUCUGUACAGCAGACUAGCUUUCAGCAUCACGUUCUGGAGGAGCACCGGUAUCUCUCAGAGCAGCAUCAGCAGCUCCUCCACGGACAACACCUCAUGUUCGAGCACUUUGGUAUUCCUUAUCCGUUUCCACCUCCACCACCACCAUCCCCGCCGCCUCAGUAGUUUUCAUUUCUUUAUGCCAUUAUGUAUGUUUGGAUGUUAGUUUUAUGUUCGGAUGGUUGUUUUAUAUGUUCGGAAGUUUGUUUGACAAGUUUGAAAGUUUGUUUUAUUUGUUUGGAUGGUUGUUUUACGUGUUCGGAUGGUUGUUUUACGUGUUCGGAUAUGGAUUUAAAGAGUUCACAAGUUUGUUUUACAUGUUCGGAAGUUUAUUUUAUAUGUUCGGAUGGCUACUGCUUAUUGUAGCAAUAGUAGCAGCUGCUGGGUGCUUAUGACAGCAACUUCUGUUGUUGUUGCUGUCGUAAGACAGCAGCUGCUAGCAGCUAGCAGCAGCAGCAAGAAUGAAUGCAAUUGUUUUUGCUCUUGUAGCUGCUUAUGCGGCAACAGUUGCUGUUGGAAUGCCAGCAGCUGGUAAUAUAUGCACCUCGAUUUCUUUAAUUGAGUGUAUUAUAUUUUUUCUUUUGGCAUUCGCUUUAAGUGAUUAAAUUAGUUGCAACUUGUUACGAGUAAUUUUGAUGCGUUUAUUAAUUAGAUCAUGUUUGAAUUAUUUUAAAAUUGUCACAACAUUAAAUCGAGCGCGAUUAAGAACUCGGGUAGUCAGAUUUUAUUUUCGUCACGGGUUCGGUAUUAGCUUAAUUUGUAUUAAGCUUAAGUGAGAAGGGAAAAAAAAGGGGCCGGCUCUAUAAAUUGUGAGAGAGAGGGGGGAAGGAGAGAGAGAGAGAGAGGAAGAAGUUGACCGGGUUUGACCCGACCCGGAUCUGACCCGCGACCUUGACCCGGUCAGAUCUCGCUAUUCCGGCCACCUCACCAGCCGAGCAACGUACCGAUAUGAAGCUUGAAAGCCGGCCGUCAUACCCCAGCCGUCCUCGUCUCCGGAAAACGGCCAGAAUGCCGGCAAUUUAGUUUGAAAAAACCUGCUGCUCAACCCGUUUUUGUCGCCGUCAAUCUCGCCAGAUUUUAGCCAUUCCACCGCCUGGAUCUUGUUCCUCAACUCACGCUCAUCACUUUCCGACCUACCACGACCAUCGCAGACACCAUCUUGGCCGCUAACGACCACCGGGAAAUGCACGGAUUUUGGAGCUUCAAUUCGCCACCGUUGCCGCGCGUGAGUUGUCAACGACGGCACCGUUGGACUCACCGAGGUCUGAACUAUCAGACCUGAGCUUUCCGUCGUCGUUGACUGAAUUCCAGUCAUCGUUGACCGGUAGGGGCAAUUCGAUAAUUUCACAAAAACUUAGGGGUAAGUUUGUAAUUUACGAAAAUGGUCGAUAAUUUGGUAAUUUUAGAUUAGGGUAGUGAGGUAAGUUGAGAUUUAGAGGGUAAUUUAGUGAUUCAAGUUAUUAAGGGCAUUUUGGUAAUUUUACACUCCAAGGGCAAUUUUCUAAAUUAUGACAUUGUGCUUAUUUUUGUGAUCUGAAUUGUGGACAAUUUGGUAAUUGAAGAUUCUGAAGAUAAUUUGGUAAAUAUUGAUGUCGGGGACAUUUUGGUAAUUUUGGCACACAAGGGUAUUUUGGUAAUUUCAUGCAUACGGGAAUAGUUGAUUAUAAAUGAAUAUUUGGUUUUGAGCUCUAUUGCAUAAAAUUAGUUGUAUUUCAUGUUUACAUAAAAUGAUUUUGUUGUUUACUUGAUUAGGAGGACCCGCGAGCGAGAAUCAACCUGUGAAUGUUUGUGAUACCAAGUCUGGACACCGUCACUGUGGGUGGAAUAUAAAAAAUUUAUUUUCAUUAUAUAUUCUGAUUUUAUGAUACAGUACAACAUGUUUUGAUGAAUAAGUAUAUAAUGUUCUGAUUUAAAAUUUUUUAGAAAUGGAUUUUAUUCUACGUGCUGAUAUUUAUCAUUAUUAAAAAUGAAUUUGAUUGAUGAUUUUAUUAUCGUUUUUGAGUAAAUGCAUGGUAAUACUUUUAAAGAGAAUAAAGUGGAUUUGAAGUAUGUAAGGUGGAAAUAAAAUGAGAUUUCAUAUGUGAUUAUAUGUUUAUGUACAUGUGUAUUAAAGGUUGUUUGGAAAAUCAUUAGACAGUACCCUUCCCCUUCAGAUACAGUAAUAUAAAUGAUAUGAGAUGAAUACAAUGAUACAGAUGAUAUGAGAUGAGAGGCCUUUGGGGUCUGUCUGAACAUACAUAGAGGCUUUGGGUCGUAUGUUGGGCGCUUUUGCCUUUUGGGGGUAUAUGCAUGCAGUAUGAUGAUUAUAGAGAUACAGAUAUUGAGAUACAGAUGAUACAAAUGUGAUUUAGGCAUUUGGGGUCCGUCUGAGUACACACAGAGGCUUUGGGCCAUGUACUUGGGUGUCUUGUCUUUUGGGAACCAGAUUAUUCGUGCACAGAUAUGAUGAGAUAUAUGAGAUAUGAGAUGGCAUUUCCCCGUCUAUCCGUUGUAGCUCCGGGGCAUGAUGGUUCCCUGAUUGCCCGUCCAUCGAGGUCCGGAUAUGAUGAGAUUAUUCCCCUGGGUGCUUGUUUGGUGAUAGUUAUCAAUAUUUCAGUAUUUGAUAUUACAAGUGUUAUGAUUUCAUUGAUUUUAUGCGGAUUUAUGUGACAUUGUUGUUCAAGUACAUGGUUUGAAUUAAUAAGUUUUAUUUAAGUUCUUAUGAUAUUUUGAUGAGAUUGUUUAGAAAAAGAUUAAAUUAUUUUUUUUUUAAAUUGUUUAUUUUUAAAAACUACUAUCCAUUCACUGAGCUCAUUUAGUUUUUAUACUCACUCUAUUUUUAUUAUAUCUCCCCCCCCCCCCCCAAACAAGAGAUUUGAAGGUACAUUAGUCAACCCAGUAACAAUAGUUAUUUAGAUAUUGUGGCCACGUGAUGGUGCUAGAAGUCGUAAAUUUCUUUUAUAUUCGGGAUAUCGCGAAUUGUAUUAUUUGUUAUAUUUUGUAAUUAAGGAAAACCAUUGUAUUUUAAUAUUAGAAUGAUGUGGGUGAUAUUUGGUAUGUUGAUUUGAGAAGUUGGUUAUGGAGGAUGGUUGGAUAUUGAAUUAUUUUGGGAGUGUUAUUUUGUAAAUUGCAAGUUUGAGGUUGUUAUACUUAUAGGGGAGACUCUGCCGAAUUUUUGGUAAAAUUUUUAAAUAUUAGAUUUAUUAUCGAUUUGAUUAGACGAGUUUAGAUAGACUAGUCCUGGGGGUGCGGGAUGGGUAGUUUCAAAACACAAGUGACUACAACAAUUUUGGGUAGAAAAAAGUUAAAAAAAAAAAAAGAAAAAAGAAAAUUACAAGAGUCGGUACAAAACAGAACAAAACAGAGACAACAGCAGGACAAUUAGAUAGGGAGCAGAGCAAUUCUAAAUAACAAGCUGGAGAUCAAAGGAUGCCAAGUGCUGUUGAGAUUAAAAGAUUGAAAGUUCAAGAGAGUUUAUCGCAAAAACUGCGAAACAAACUGCGCAAUAGUGAGCACAAUAAUUCUUUUGCAAGUAACAUCAUAGAUGAGAAAUUAUCCAGUUCAAGAUCUUGGACUCUCUUAAAUGUCCAAAAAACUUGUUACAACAUAUGGUGUAUGAGUGUGGCGUAAUAGUUAAAUAAUAAUGUUAAAAUUAUAACAAUGUUAAAUAAUAAUGUUCGCAUUUAAUGGCUAGUUUCAUCAUUAUAACAACCAAAACACUAUUGCAUUCCAAUGCAUUUUAACUCAAGGCACGCACGCACGAGCAUGAUUACUGAUUCACACAUGCAUCUUUAAUUAAUUAACUAAAAUUUGGUACUUGAAAAGUCUUUGGGAGUGCCUACAAAUUGAAAUUUGGUACGACAAUUAACGCUAAGAAAUGAAUCUGGCUACGGCAUAUCCUGCAACGACAUGGAUAAAGGACUGUUCCACCAUUCAACCUGAAAUCAUCAAGUGAAAGAAACAAGAUCAUGAGCGUUGUUUUUUUAUAUUGUAAAAAGCCGACUCGAAGUAAUAAUAAUAAUAAUUAAUAGACCUUACCAUUGGUUAUCACAUUAUUGUCCAGUGCAUCUUCCACCCCAUUCCCUGCAUAUAGUUAACCAAGCUGAGGACCAACCACACGGCCACACCAGUAUGUCUCGAGAAUCUUUACUGACUUCUCAUGGAUCUUGUUGUUGUCAUGACUUCGUAGAUUUUCUAUCUUUUCUAAUCCCUCAGCCUCUUCAACCAACUGGGCAUACUGAUUAACAUCUCCAAUGGCUGUGUCCAUAUUCUUUUCAGCUUCCCCGACCUUCAAAAUGUUCUCUAAUCCUUGUAAGCAAACAGUGACGAUCUUUGGAUCAGCGCAAAGAAGGAGAUCACACAAUGGUUUUAUACACCCCUCUCUCACGAGGUACUUGAUUUGCUCAUGAGUGUCAACCUUGGUGGCAUUUGAAAUUGCCCGUGCGGCCCACUCCUUUAUAUCAAAUUCAGCAUUUUGAAGCAGAUUGACAAGGGGACCAAUAAAACCAGCAUCAAUUACCGCCUGAAUCUGUUCCUUGUUUCCAGCUGUGAUAUUUGAAAUAAUCCCGCAUGCAAACUUCUUAAUGCUCUUUUCAUGAUCAUGGAUCAACAGGCCCAAAAGGUACGGCAGUGCACCACAGUUAAUUAUACACUGAGUCUGGAAAUCAUCUCCCCUCACAAUAUUUGUAACAGUCUGCAGGGCAGCAGUAAGCACUGAGGGUGAUGGAUGACCAAGGAGCUCAACAAGUCGUGGACAGACACCUGCCUCAAUCACAGCUUGAAUUUUGUCAUUCUUACGAUCACUAGAAAGACAGAAGAGUGCCCGGCAAGCAUCAGUCAAGACCUGUUCAUCAUUUGAAUGAACAAGCUGCGCAAGCGCCGGAAGAGCUGGUCUCACCUGUUCAAAUAUUGGUCGUGGAUUGCCGCUGCAUAAAUUAGACAACGUCCGUGUGGCUCUUCUCUUCAUUGAAAGGUUUGCAUGGUUAUUUAACAGUGUUAACAAUGGAAUUAGAGCUUCUUCACUAAGCACAAGAUCACGGAAUCUAGGCGAGUCAAUAGCAACAUUUCCCAAUGCCGAAGCAGCCUUCUCCCGGAUAUUAUCUCUUGGAGAAGCAAGUAGUUUCACAAAUAUUGGAACAGCACCGUGGUCAAUCACCACCUUAGUGUCCUCCGAAGUUCCAUAAGCAAUGUUUGUAAGAACCCAAGCAGCCUCAUACUGAAUUUGCGGAUAGUCAUCCCUCAUAAGAAACUCAACAAAGCGCGGGACAACGCCAGAUUUUAUGACUUCCUCAAUUGGUAGACUCCUCUCAUUUGAAAGCAGUUUUCGGAACUGAGUAGUUGCUUCCAGCUGCAAGUUGUUGUCAUCUGACCAAACGCCAGCAACCAUCGCGGGCAAAAUUUCCAACCUAGUUUGGAGAUUGAGAUUGGGGCCAGGAGCGAAAGAAAGAAAUUGCUGGGAUGGAGGAGCUUCACGUCGCUUCUUGAGGAAGCUUUCCUCAUUAAGAUUUACCUGUUCUAUGGUUGUAUUUAAGCCCUCCUUCCAAGCCCAACAUGCUUCAUCCCACAUAUUUAGCUGCACUUUGUGUAACACGGGUGUGCUUAAUUCUCCUCUAGAGAAAAUUUUCAUAUUGGUGCAAUCAUCCACCAGUAAUCUUUCCAAAGAUGGGAAGUUCAAGGCACGACUGCCAGAGUAGAAGCUUCUCAGACUUUUUAAAUUUAAAAGCUUCAACUCUUUCAAUUCGCUGAAAGCAAUAUCCUCAUCUUUCGCUGCAUCAUGAUCAUCGUCAUCAUCUGCCAAUACUAUUUCUGUUAUCAUAACACAUGAUUCUAUCUUCAUUUCUCUGAGUCGCACCAGAGUCUUUGCAAUUGAGGAUGUUAGUACGUUUUUCAAUCCGUCGCAAUACGAUAUCUUCAAAGUUAUAAGAUUCUGAAAGGAUGUCGAGGAUGGCACUAGAUUGAUCAAACGGUGACACUUCGUUACAUGUAGAAUAACCAAAUUGUUCAUAAUAGAGGAGGACUCUUGGCUCAAGAUGUACUUCAGAUCAUAACACUUGAACGCUUUUCUUAUGAUUACCUCCAUCCCAUUUUCAGCCUUUUCUUUUGGCAAACAAUCAUUAUUUCCUUCUAUUUGGAGAACUUUCAGGGUGUGAAAUCUCUGGAGGAAAUCAUCAAGCGAUAAAAUAGUAGUCAACUCAUCAACAAACACAACAUCAAGGCAUUUAAGUUUGCACAGCAAGUCUUCUGAAAAUAUAAAUUUAUUUGUUAUUAUAUACUUUGCAUCUACUAUCAACUCUUCCAAAUUGGGAAACACCUGCGUGAUCAAUCAGAACAAACAAAGAAAAUGCAAAAUGGAUAAGUUUAUAUCCUUUCUAACAAUUUCACAAAAUUAGUACGGUGCUUUUUGGAGGAAAUUUAACAAAAUAGAAAAGAAUUAGAAGCUACCACUAGCUAAUACAAUAUGUCCAUCUGAUAAAUUUUAACCUUUUAGAAAAUAAUAAUAAUACACCCAACAUGCAGAAAGUAUAUACAAGAAUUGAAAAAUUAAUUUUAAAUUUCACGUACCUAUCUAAUACGAUAUGUUUAUCCAAUAAAUAUUAACCUUUUGGAAAAUAGUAAUAAUAAUACACCUAACAUGCAGAAAGUAUAUAUAAGAGUUGAAAAAUUAAUUUUAAAUUUCAUGUGCGUACCUUUUUUGUCAAGUCAUGAGUAGUUCUUUUAAAUCUCACCAUGAACUCAGGACACCGAGAUAUCCAUAAUUCUUUCAAGGAUGGAAAUUCAAGCAUAUGUACAUCUCCUGUGCUGAAGCUUGUGAGUUUUUCAAGAUCAUACAUCUUCAGAUAUUGUAACUGAGGAAACAUUACAAUAUUAUUCUUCCUUUCUUCUUCUUGGUUGUCCAUGACUAUUAACUCUUCCAAGACAUGACAUUUUUCUAUCUCAAUGUAUUGGAGUCGAACAAAGAUGUUAUCGCUAACCGUAGAAGAUGAAAAUAGACAUCUUAAAUUCAUACAGUUGUACAGGGUCAAGUGCGUUAAAUUCUCAAUACCACAAGUCAUGGCUGCAACUUGGUUUUGCCAAAUUCUCUCAAUAUUUAUUGAACGCACCGCCAACUUCUCCAACUUUGGUAACGCAACCUGGUCGAUCAAAAAAUUAACUUCUUGCUUGAUGGACAAAUCAAUAAAAUUCAUCUCUUUGUCAUGUUACAGUUCUCUUCAGUCUUUCAUACAAACAAGCAUCAAUCGAAUUUUCCAAAUUAUUCCUCACUAAUUUGAUAGGUACUCUAAAGAUGUAUAUUCAAGAAAAUGUGAAGUCGUAAAUGCUAAUCAGUUUAUCAGUCAAAAUACAUUUUCAUUAUUAGGAAUUACAAUAUCAACAAUGCUAUAUUGACAAAAAAUUGAGUUACAAAAUUUUCACAAAAACAAAAAAAGAUUGUCAAUAUCUGGGUAGUUAUCAAUCAACUUGUUUCUUGUCAAGACAUUUUAGUAUUUUCAUGCUUUUGUCAAAAUUUAAAAACCCACUUUUUUGGGUCAAAAUAACAUUUUCCUUACAACAUAUUUGGUAUUCCCUAAUACAUAUGUUUAUUAUUAUUAUUAUUAUUAUUAUUAUUAUCAUUAUCAAUUCAUUUAGUUUGUCAAGAGUACCAAUUAUUUUCUCUGAGAAUGCAUUUGUUACACCUACAACAGUUGAUAUUAAAAAUCAUAUAAUUAUUAAUUACGCUUGCCAUAUCUGCAAAAAAACAAGAAUAUCGAAGGAUGAAAAAGCAAAAAUCAGAGAAUUAAAAAGGCCAUUGGGUUAUUAGUAACCAACCUUCUUAAUGAAAAGUGUAUUAGAAAUAUUAACAUUGUCCUCCAAAAUGAUUUCAUUCGACUGCAUAUCAUUUGCUGAUUCCUCCUGUCUCUGUCAACAUUGAAGGCGUCUUGAUUUUAGAGUAUAAAUUUAAUUGUGAGCACAAUCUUUAAAACAACGUGACACGAGGCCUUUAAAAAUUAGUACAACUUAAUUUGGUACUAGAUCGAAAUUCGAUAUUUUGGAUUGCAUGUUUGAGAUUUCGUUAGAAAACAAAAUAAUAAUAACAGAGUUAAUAUAAAAAAAUUAAACUUGUUACCUAUUUAGAUUAGAUAAACAAUGAAUAUUCUCUUAAUAUGAUUAUUCUAAGAGUACGGAAAAUAUAAGACAAUUAAUUAAUUUUAUAUAUAUAUAUAUAUAUAUAUAUUUGUGGUUUUAUCCUGAAGCUAAAAGAUUUAAAUAUUAAUUUAGUUGUCAACAUUAAAGACUUAGCAAAAUUGGUUACUUUGGAAAUGAGCAUGAACAUAACAUUUGAUGAUUUUUUAAAAUUAACUUUGAUGCACAAGAAACUUCUAUUUUUAUUGUAACUUAUAAUAUGACAAAAUGAUGUCAUAAUUUUUAUAAAUAUGAUGCUACAUAGUAGUUUUCUGGUCUAAGAUCUUAAAGUGUGGGAAAAAAAAAAUUUAAAAUCGCGGGGUUUUAAAGGCUUACAACUUGAAAUGCUUAAACCGCACGAUUUAUGCAUUUUCUCGGACGUUCCCGCACUUUAAAAUUCCGGAUUGAAACAUUUCUAUGAUGCUACAUACAUGUUUUAUGAUAUUUGGAUACGAUUUAAGGUCUGAAAAUGGUUUAAAUUCAAGGGUUAGAUCAAUUAAGCUAGGAAAGAAUGACCAAAGUUUUAAUUUAAAAUAAAAUUACCGAUCUAAAUUUGAGAACUCUACACAUAGAAUAAAGAACAAUUACGAUUUUAUUUGAGCUUCUUUAUUAAAGGUUUAUUUUAUGUCAUCCAAGUCUGAUGUCAACAAGAUUUUGUUGUUGGGGAAUAGUAAAAAGUUAUUAAGCUAUUAGAAGUAAAUUUUAUGAUUACAGUAAAAAAGUACUUGAUGUUAUUAUUAUAUUAUUUUGAAUAUUAGAUCCCAAGUGAAAAUUUCCUUCAUACCAAUUAUUUCAAUUAGGAAUGAUCAUACCUUUGACUCUGCCGGCGGAUUGAGGGCGUCGCUGCAACCAUGGAUCCUGAGAAACUUGAGUUCUGAAGAACCCACUUUGGCUAAUUCAUUAGCAAAAUAAUUGACAUCUUGCUCUCGCAAUUCACGUAAUUCAAGGUCUUCAAUUCCCUGCAGUUGCACGAUCAGCCAAUCCUUCAAGCAAAUCUUAUUGUUCAGCCUGAGUCUGAAUUCUCUACGCCAAAUGUUGGUGCUCUCCCAAUACCAAUCUCCAAUACGUAUUCUGUACUUUUCCAGCUUCUCCAAGAACAAGCCUCUGGGCAGAGUGUUGACAUCAUGGAUGUCUAAUUCUAAAGAGGUCAAGUUAGGCAAAUGCUUCAACUCCUCAACGCCAGCAUUCUUAACCCCUUCCACCUCCACCUCCCAUUUUUGAAAGCUUCUACAACUUAUGUAUAGUUCUUCUAAAUGGGAUAAAUUUGAUAAAACAUUUGGUGGGAUAACUUCUAGUUUCCUACAUUCUCUCAAAUCAAGCAAGGUUAGCCAAGUCAAUUGACCUACUUCUGUUGGCAGCUGCUUAAUGUCAGAACCUCUUAAACAAAGGAUUUCUAGUUUCUUCAAGCCUCCUAUGACACUUAUAUCUACCAAUUUGCAAUAACACAAACUCAGUGCUCGAAGGUUUAACAGAAAACCAAGUGUUGAAGGCAGUGACAGUAGAUUCAUGUAAGUCAAGUUUAUAACUCUGACCUGUAUCAUCCCCUUGAAAAAAUUGUUUGGAAUGGUUAAUGAUGAAGAUUCCUUAUCCGCACAUAUAAAAAGAAGUUUGAGUUGAGGACAUUCCACCACUUCAGGAAGCACAUUAGUCUUGAUAUCUUGUAAGACGAUCGAAGUGUAACGCUUUACUGCACUUUCGUCUGACCACACCCUGAAACCAUCAACCUGCUCAUUUGUCGCUGUCAACGCAAUUUUCUCUGUAGAUGCAAUUGAUAUGGCAACAUCGCGAACAACAUCAUGCAUGGAAAAGAACUCUUCACUCUUGCUUAUAUGGUCUAGCAACAUACAAGAAGCUUUGAGUUUGUGCACCAACGUCCGCACUCGAGCUCGUGCUACUUCCAUCUUAUUGACACCUUGAAAUAAACCCAAUCCCAUACCACACAUUAACAAGGCAUCAAUGGAUGAUAUGGCUGUAUAUCCUAUUAGCAAAAAUAUGUUCUUGAGCUCCUCCCCUGCUAAUUUGUUGUAACUCAACUCUAUAGCUUUACACGCAGUUGGCUGUAUGUCUUUGAAGUUCGUUGCGUAUGGCCUUCUUAGUUGUUCCAACGCAUCCUUCCAUUCAAAUAAUCUCUUGUUCCUUAAUGCCCUCGCUAUCGUCACAACAGAAACAGGCAAACCUGCACAUUCCUUUGCCACAUCCCUUGCCACCGAUUGGAAUUCACUACCCUCAAUAUAAUCACCUGCCAUCUUCUUGAAUAGAUUCCAAGCUUCUUCUUCGUUUAAAACACCAAUUGAGAAAUUUGAUCGAGAAUCCAUCUUCCCAGACAAUAGAUCUAGACUUCUGGCCGUCAACAGUACUUUACAACCUUUAUGACCAUCUCCAUGAGGAAUUCCGACAACCCGCAAAUUAAGAUUUUCCCAAAUGUUGUCUAAAAUUAUCAGGAUCUUCUUCUCUGCUUUUAUACGUUUAAAUAAGCUGUUUGCCCUUCCUGAUUCACUUUCCUCAUGAAACUUCAGGCCUAAUUUAUCUGCUAUUUCUCCUUGAAUCUUUCGUAUGUCUUGAUUCUGGGACACCUCAACAAAAACCACCAGAUCAAAGAGUUUGUCACUCUUGACUUUCCUAGCAAUUUCUUCCGCCAGCAUCGUCUUUCCGAUGCCACCCAUCCCAUAAAUCCCAAGCAUGUCGACAUCAGGAUCUUCUAGUGCACUGAGUAUAUUCCUCAAAGUGAACAUUCUUGAUUCAAAGGGCUCGUAGUCUUUGUUAGAGAUAAGCCGUAUAUCCUCUGGAGCAGUACAGUAGGAAAUUCUAUCAAAUCUUCGAGCAUCUCGGACAUUGACAACAGCCUCCUUCUGCCUCUCUGCUUCCUUGCUAAGUCGACGGCGGGUCUGCAAAUCAGGACAUAACCCCUUGAAACAACGCUUAUUUGCAGUGGCUUCGUCUUUUGUAAAAUUAUCUGCCGCUUCAAUGACAUUGUUGGCCCUUGCAAGCCAAUUCACAACGUUCUCUUCAAUCUCUUCUCCUUUUCUUUUAGCCUCAUCAACCUGGUGCUGUGUACGCACCCUCUCAGACUUCAGAUUGUCAACUUCAGUCUUGAGAUUCUGUAAGUUACUGGUGUACUUACUCUUGCGCCAAUAGCAAAUUCGGCGAUAUGCGGGAGGAGCCACGCGCUUUACAACUUCUACAACAAUAGUAAGAAUGAUUUCAGCCAUCUUCUGUCCUUUUCCUCUCUCUUUCUUUUUGUGAAUUUUUGAAAAAUAAUUGACCCAGUUAUGAAGCAAACUAAGUGAUUAAACACAAGUGACUACAACAAGAUGGGGCAGAGUAAGAAGACAAUAGAAAGAGUAGAGACAGAAUAAAACAGAGACUAGACAAAGAACAAAGCAAAACCAGGUAACAAGACUGAAGAUUACAACAAACAGAGGCCAAAUUCGAAAGAGUUGAUGGCAAAAGCUGAAUACAAAAACAACAACGAACACAAUAAACAGAAGCAAAGUGUGUUUCUGAUCAAAGGAUGAAAAUACUAAGGAAGGGUUUGUUUUGUUGUCUGGAAAUGAAUGCAAAGAAAGACUGAUAUUAAAAAAUGAUCUCAAUAAUGGAGGAGUGACUCAACUCUGAAAAACAAAGUUUUGUUGUAUUCUUUUUAACUUUUUGUUGUGGUAGAGAACGGAGAUUAAGGAUGAGAUUAAAAACUAAAAGUGACCCCUCUGUCUUUUGGAAUUAAUUAAUCAUCUUAGUUUUAUGGCCCGUGUUUAGGGAAUGAAAUAGGGUGACCAAGAUAAAGGUGUUUACUCAUACAUUAUCGUGCUCUCCUCAAAGUAAAAGUGAGCAAAUGGUUGAGCAGAUCAUCUCGACCAGGAUGUUGUUUGGUGACCUCGAGCACAUCACCUCGACCAGGAUGUUAUUUGUCACCUCGAGCAGAUCAUCUUGACCAGGAUGUUAUUGGUCACCUCGACCAGAAUAAUAUGUGGUGACCUCGAGCACAUCACUUGGACCAGGAUAUUAUUGGUCACCUCGACCAGAAUAAUAUGUGGUGACCUCGAGCACAUCACCUCGACCAGGAUAUUAUUGGUCACUUCGACCAGAAUAAUAUGUGGUGACCUCGAGCACAUCACCUCGACUAGGAUGUUAUGGGUCACCUCGACCAUAAUAAUAUGUGGUGACCUCGAGCACAUCACCUCGACUAGGAUGUUAUUGGUCGCCUCGACCAGGAAGUUACUUGGAAGCACGAUUCAGUCAAAACAUUUUCUCCGAAAUGUUAGGGACCAUGUUCUUAGUGGGCUGAAAAUUAGUAGUUUUCUUGAGAAUUUUAGGGGAGAGGAUAAAAACCACUAUAAUUUCCUAUAAAAACCCUAGGAAGGGGAAAGAAGAGGGGGGGAUUCUUCUAGCUCUCUCUUUCUCUCUCUAUCUCUCUCUCUCUAAGCAACUGAACCCAUUGGACCUUUUUCUCUGUCUACCACAGAGAAAUCUCUCUUUCGCCUGUGAUUUCUUUAAGAUUGAUUAUUUUGAAUUAUUCUCCUUUAAAUUUACUUAAAAUCUUUUUGUUUAAAGCAAUCAUAAUUAAGCCACAUGAAUUGUGGUAUGAGUUUUUCCAAGUAAGACCUGCAUUGCUGACUUGAGCGUCGGAGGGUUCUCGCCGGAAAAACUUCCGGCACCUCCUGACUGUUGGUUGUGUUCACAGGCUCACAGGUUAUCUGCUCAUGGAUCGUCUGCUCAUGAGUUCUCUGCUCAUGGAUUAUCUGCUCAUGGGUUAUCUGCUCAUGGAUCGUCUGCUCACGGGUUAUUUGCUCAUAGAUUGUCUGCUCAUGAGUUCUCUGCUCAUGGAUUGUCUGCUCAUGAGUUCUCUGCUCAUGGAUUAUCUGCUCAUGGGUUAUCUGCUCACGGGUUAUCUGCUCAUAGAUUGUCUGCUCAUGAGUUCUCUGCUCACGGAUCGUCUGCUCAUGGAUUGUCUGUUGAUGGGUUGUCUGCUCACAAAACAUCUGCUCAUAGAAAAUCUGCUCAUGGUGCUAACUAAUCAUCAGUUUCCCACCAAACAAACUUAAUGAUGAUGCAGGGAUUUGAGAUCUGACCAACUCCUUCGGAUUUUGGCAUCAACAGCCGGCUAACCUUUGUCCGUCGGAUUAGGGAACAGAAAUCCAAACGGUGGAGAUCACUUGCUGAAACCAUGUCCCUUUGUUACUUUAAUGAAAAUUUCUAAGUGCUGAUAAAUAAACCAGGUAGAUAUGGUAGAUAUUUUGAAGUAUAAAAAGUGAAAAACGGAGCCUUUACCGAUGGUUUGCUUUCUUAUUCAUCUUUUCCCUAGGCUUAUUACUCUUUUAUUAUUUAAGUUGACUGGAAAUGAAUCCAAAGAAAGGCUGAUAUUAAAAAAUGAUCUCAAUAAUGGAGGAGCGAUUCAACUCCGGAUAAUAAAGUUUUGUCGUAUUCUUGUUAACUUUUUGUUGUGGCAGAGAACGGAGAAUAAUGAUGAGAUUAAAAACUAAUAAGUGACCCGUCUAUGUCUUUUGGAAUUAAUUAAUCAUCUUAGUUUUAUGGCCGGUUAACCGUUGUCCGUCGGAUUAGAGAACAGAAAUCCAAACGGUGGAGAUCACUUGCUGAAGCAUGACCCUUUGUCACAUGUAACUAUGUAAGAAAUGUCCAAGACCGGUAAUUGACCGUUAGCAUCAUGCCAGUGUAGUAGAGGGGAAGCGUCUUUUUACACAACUCAUGUAUAUUCAUUGGAAUAUGGAGUGCCAAAUUAUUAUUCUAAAAAACUUUGAACACCAAAAUAUGUAUUAAACCCCAUUACUCCAUAAAAACAUCAUUAAUCUAAAAUUUUACCGUAUAAAUACACAUUAAUACCCUAAAUACCCUUAAUAAGUUAAUUAUCAUAAUCUCUCUUAUCCUUUUUCCUUCACCACCUUUUCUAACCUUUUAUUAGUUAUGUUUUGAACCCAAACCCUAGGUUCAUCCUUUUUAAUUUUUUUCAGUAGGUUUUUGCCCUUGAAUUCUAAAUAUAUUGUUACAAAUUAUUCCAAACGCAUGAAAUGCCGAGAAAAGAACAACUAAUAAUAAAAUUACAUUCCUAAUUAGGAUACUAACCAAAUUCAAGCAGUUAAAGAGGUUGUUGAAAAGUCAAAGAAUUACUUUCCAAUUUCAAAAGGCCAAGUUGGUGGGUUUGCCAAAUUCAAAAAAGCAAAGAUGGUCGGCUUGCUAAUUUCAAAAGACAAAGUUAGGUGUUGAAAAACUUGUGCAUGCAAUACAAGAUCCAGCUCAACGUUUUGACCAAUUGAACCCAACUUGGAGCAGAAUGCACUUUAUAAAUAGAGAAGCAUUUUGCAAUUGUAAGCAUCCCGAAUUUGAGAGAAGUAGAGAGCAAUUGCAAGUGAGUUCUUUGAGAGAAUUUGUGAGAGCUUCCACUUGAGUGUUCUAGUGAGGUUCCAUUUGGGUGUAUGGGGGUUGUGGGUUUUGUGAGUUUUUCCAACUUUUGUAAAUUCCCAUUUGUUAGUAAAAUUAUCUUCUAGUUUUUUGCUCGUGGCCGUAGGCAUUACGCCGAACCACGUAAAUUAUUGUGUCUUAUUUUUCUUUACAUUUGUUUAACACAACAUUUAUAUUUCUCCAAAAGUUGCAGUAUUAGUAAUUGCUCAACCCGCGUUUCCACAACAAGUGGUAUCAGAGCCGACGGUUCGUACUUGGGGGAUACAGUACUAUUCACGUAUACGGUAUUGUUCAUGUAUACGAUACUAUUCACAAAUACGGUGGAGACGACCAUUUAUACUUGGGAGACAGUCUAUUGUAAGUAGUGUGUAUUUUUGCAUGUCUAAGAAAGUUCUGUCAACAAAGGCGAUAAGAGUCUAAGGAUUCUGGUUUUUAAUUGGGACCGAGUUCCCAUCAAGUCUUCUAGGAACUUUUCUGGUGCAUUUAUUCACGCGAAAUAAACAUCA
Molecule: long non-coding RNA, 56285 nt
Filed under: Citrus x clementina
Lineage: Eukaryota; Viridiplantae; Streptophyta; Magnoliopsida; Sapindales; Rutaceae
Description: Citrus clementina (C. clementina) long non-coding RNA (CCLE_LNC002925)
Source: RNAcentral